Molecule: long non-coding RNA, 52641 nt
Filed under: Populus trichocarpa (black cottonwood)
Lineage: Eukaryota; Viridiplantae; Streptophyta; Magnoliopsida; Malpighiales; Salicaceae
Description: long non-coding RNA (PTRI_LNC001890)
Source: RNAcentral
AUGUUACUGCCGUGGUGAAAGUUGCAGUAAGGGCAGCAACUGAUCCAGUUUUCCCUCUCGGCAUCGUGGAUGUUUAUGAAAUACUGUGUUAUAACCAGCAGCAAAGAGCAACAUAGAUUUGUUGAUAUCGAGAGUUCAUUUGUUUCUUCACCAAUAUAGAGUUCAUUUGUUUUCUUCACCGAUAUAGAGUUCAUCAUCAAUAUCAAGAUUUCAUCUGUUUUCUUCUUCUCUAUAAGUUCUCAAAAUGUUAGCUGUUGGAGUUGGACUCUCAAAAUGUUAGCUGUUGGAGUUGGACUCGAAGCAUUUUGUGAACUGGAGACUCACAAAAAAGUUCCAUUAACAUGUUUGAUGAAAUAAAAAUACAUGAUAAGAACCAGCUCAUACCCUGUAUGUCUCCUGAUCAAAAGAGUUUAUGGAGGUCUCAUAAUUUAAAUCUUUAAAGCUAAAUUAUUUUUUUUGAAGGUAUAAAUAUAAUUUUACAAAUUCUCAAAUAAACCUUUAUAUGUAUAACUUAUAUAUUCAUACAAUAAAUUUCCAUAUGUAAAAGCUAUAAAAUAAGUGAACAUUCAAUAUAUAUAUAUAUAUAUAUAUAUAUAUGUUUUGAAUUACUCAGAUGACGAUGUGUCUUGAAAACAAAAUCUUGUGAAGGAAGCCGCAACUAAAAUAAAUGAUUGGCAAAUUCGAACCUAAUGAUUGCCUGUCAACAAAAAGCCCGGUGCUUUCUGUUAGUAAAACCUAAAAACAUUAAUGAAACAAUAUUACCUUAUUGACUGAUUUUUCUAGCUGAGCAAUUGACGUCAAAUAGUUCAAAUGAUUUUUCUAGAUGAUGUCGGAACGAAGCCCUCAAGAGUUUAGGGGAUCUAUGCUACAAGCUUGAAUAUUCAAUAAUAAUCACAAAUACUUUGAUUUAGUCAAGGGUAGACGAUGGCGAAAUAACCAAUAAGACAAGGGAUAUUUAUCGCUGACCAGAACAAGGCGAAUUCCGACAGAUCUGAGGGCAACUAAUGUGUCAUACGUGACCAAUACGUCCAAGUGCCUCUGUCUUACAUGCAACGUGAACAUGUGCCGGCGACAUUGACUGUGAUGCAAAGCUCUUGCCAUUCUCUUCUUCCAGCUCUUAAUUUGGACUGACACCUUCUUAAAUAAUUCUUCCAGCUCUUUCCCUAAUUUUAGUACUCCCCAUUUGUGUUUUGGACAUCUUUUAUUUAUUCUUAAAAAGGGAGACAUGAUUUCUAAAAAGGGGAAUUAGUGAAAGGAGUAAUCUGCUAGGAUAAAGUAUUUAGUUUCAAUUGUGUAACCAUUUAGUAAGUACUGUUUGUUUUUGUGCUAGAACAUUCCUUUCAAAGUAUUUUUUAAUUUUUGUUUUUCUUUUGAAAAAGUGUUAAAUUAAUGGUUUUUAGGUGUUUUUAAUAUGCCAAUGUUAAAAAUAAAAAAAAUAUCAUUUUGAUAUAUUUUAAAUUGAAAAAUAUCAUCCAUCACAAUAUUAAAUCUACACUUACUUCUACUUCCUUUAAGUUUAUAUACACAUCUUAUAAGAUACUGGUGUACACUUGGUGAAUUGUUUUUUUUUUUUUUUGGAUAAAGGUAUUUUAAAUUAGUUUAUGCAUUAAUUGAAAUUAAAUUUUUUUUGGACAAUAUUCAAAAUACACAUCUCACAUUUACUUGAUAUAUUCAUAAGAAUUUAGCCAAUUCCUCUUAAUGUUAGCCCAAUGUUUAAAUUCAGAAAAUCAAUGUUAAAUGGAACAAUUUUUCUUAACCAUCAAUGUUAAAUGUCUCCAAUUUAUUAAUAUGAUUUGAUUGAAACGAUAAAAUCAUGCAAUUUCCUAGUAAUUACAAUCACUAAUCUUCUCCUCGAGAACUGGUCCAAGCUCUUCUCCUUCAAGGCUUUAGUUUCACCUUAUAAAUAACACAUUCUUCCUUCCAAGCUUAAACCAAGAAAACUAGCUAGAAUCAGCUCAACCAUAGGUGGACAACAAGAUGAUCAUGAAAAAAUACUCUUUAAAUCCUGUUCUAUCUUUCUUUUUCUUCCUUUCUUUGAUGAUUUUGUUCUCAGAAAUGGGGGUGGCCCAGAACACAACAUCUUCAAUCCCAGUGAAUGUAGGAGUGGUUCUUGACUUGGCUUCUUUGGAGGCCAAUAUUGCUUUGAGCUGCAUCAACAUGGCCCUUUCAGACUUCUAUGCCUCUCAUGGUGACUACAAAACUAGACUGGUCCUCAACACCAGGGACUCAAAGAAAGAUGUUAUUGGUGCAGCUGCUGCAGGUUCCCUCUCUGCCCCUUCUCUUGGUUCUCAUCUCUUUUCUCCAAUUAUGAAUCAUUGCUCACCAUUUCUUACUGCUAAUUAUUAACCUCCUCAUGCAACAUUUUAACAGUAGAGAUUUUUACAUUCUGUAUUAAUUAUCUGAUGAGGUUCUCGGCCUGCAAAUCUCUAGUUUGUUCAUAGAAAUGCGCGCAGGUCCAUCGACAUGAUAUGAGAAUAUAUAUACCGUUCCAUGCUUGCUAUAUUUUUCUUUUCAAGCUAAGGGUAUUCUCAGAAAAACCUGCACAUAUCUAGACAAACUCUCUUUCUGAUCGUGUUUACUUAAGCCAUUCACGCUCCAACCGGUUUAUAUAACCAUUCUAGUAACUUAAAUUUUUUAAUUAAGAUGAUUAUUUGAUAUUUACUAGGAAUUUCUUCCUCAACCUCUCAUUGUACUGAACCCAAAAUGACAAAGGUGGGUCAAAACACACAAAAGUCAUUAUAAACUGUGGCCAUCUUCCUUUCCAAAUUUGCGCCCCCCCCCCCCCCCCCCGCGUAUAAAUUUGCGCGUUCUUACUUUCCAAAUUUGCGGCCUCCCUGUCAUCUAUCGUGAGCUGGACACCCCCCCUGUAUCAAUAACAUACGAAACAUAAAAAUUUUAAUGAGCAAAAAGAGUGAACAUUAAAUUGUAUAUAAUAGUUAUUUUUUCAAAAGAUUUAUAAAAUAUUUUAAAAAGUUAAGAAAACCUAAAUCCCCUGUAAAACAAUUUAAAAUCUAAAAACAUUAAGAAAAUUAAAAUAUAAUCUUAAAAACAAAAUUGUUUGGGAAUAUCUAAUAGUCCAAUAAGCAAGACAUGAGAACAAUUUAAACUUGAUUAAAAGGUUGCAUCAACAUGUGCAUGCUCUUAGUAGCUUAUCUGUACUUGAUGCCUAAUCACUUUUGAAUUAUUAAUAAUUUAGAAUUGAGCUCAUUGAGUACUUGAUGGCUUCUCAGCCACCUUCUUAUAUGUAAUUAACAGCCUGAGAUGUACUUCUUAAAAUAAAAUAUGAACAUGAUAAGUUUGGCACUGCCUAUUUUAAUUGUUUAGGACGGCUACGCCGAUCAUUGCAUUAUACUUGAAUCAUCAUUCAAUUAUGAUAAUCAUGUGGUUACCAUGUCAAUCUAUAAAUUAUUUUUGUUGAUAUAGAAGCACUAGUUCUUGCAUAAUACAUGUACACUCACCAGUUAAUUAGCUAGUUUUCCCUCAAGUUAAAACAAAAGUUCAUGCUCUGCUUAAAAAGUUUGGAUUGAUAGUGAAAGAAAUACAGAGCAUGGAUUGCUAGACAAAAGCAUGUUAAUUUUCUGCUGUCAUGCCGUUUCUUAAUUUAUAAGGUAGUGUUUAGUUACUGUUGGAAAACAGAAAAGACAAGUAAAGAUAAAAAGAACAUUUUUUCUUAUUUUUUUUAAAUAAUAAAAAUUCACUAUAAAAUUGUUCAAAAUUAAAGACGUAUUUAUUUCAUGCAUAAGUCCCUUCAGUAUUAGAGCAUUAACCAAAUCCAACAUAAGGUGUAGAGCAAUUAAAAGAGAGGAGCUCACAGAUCAUAAAACGUGACUGCAGAAUGAUCAUCCUAUAAGAAACUGUGAUCCUUUGCUUGAUCGUUCUCUGCUGCAGAAGUCUUUAAUUUUUCUUUUCUCCUUUCGAAAUGCAGCCCUGGACUUGAUAAAAAAUGUGGAAGUGCAAGCAAUCUUAGGGCCAACAACAUCAAUGCAAGCCAAUUUUGUUAUUGACCUUGGAGAAAAAGCUCAGGUGCCAAUUAUAUCUUUUUCUGCAACAAGUCCUUCUCUUACUUCCAUCAGGAGUUCAUAUUUCUUGCGAGCAACACAAAAUGAUUCAGCUCAAGUGAAUGCCAUAAGUGCUAUAGUUCAAGCCUUUGGAUGGAGAGAAGCGGUGCCCAUCUACAUUGACAAUGAAUAUGGAGAGGGAAUCAUACCUUAUUUAAUUGAUGCUCUGCAAGAAGUUGAUGCUCGAGUACCCUACCGGAGUGUCAUUUCUCCAUCGGCCACUGAUGAUCAAAUUGUUGAGGAGCUUUAUAGGUUGAUGACAAUGCAAACUAGAGUUUUCAUUGUGCAUAUGUAUCCCUCUCUAGGCACUCGGCUUUUCACCAAAGCAAAAGAGAUUGGAAUGAUGAGUGAAGGCUAUGUCUGGAUCAUGACUGACGGUCUGAGUGUUGAUUUCUUGAGUUCACCAAAUCAUUCUGUCACCGAUACUAUCCAAGGAGUAUUGGGUAUUAAACCUUAUGUUCCAAGAACAAAAGAGCUUGAAUAUUUUCGAGCUCAGUGGAAAAGGAAAUUCCUACGAGAUAAUCCAAAUAAAAUUGAUGCUGAGUUGAACAUUUAUGGACUACUGGCCUAUGAUGCCGCUACAGCAUUGGCCUUGGCAGUUGAGAAAGCCGGCACUACAAAUUUUGGCUUCCAAAAGGCAAAUGUUUCUAGCAACUCAUCAACAGAUCUUGCAACUCUUGGCAUCUCUUUAAAUGGUCCGAACAUUCUGCGAGCUUUAUCGACCACUAGUUUCAAAGGCCUUACAGGAGAUUACCUUUUUGUUGAUGGGCAGUUGCAAUCACCAGCUUUUCAGAUAGUUAAUGUGAACGGAAAUGGAGGAAGAGGGAUUGGAUUUUGGACGCCAACAGAAGGACUUGUGAAGAAAAUGAAUCCGAGAAUAAACAAACGUAUGAAUUCAACUUCUACUUCCAGAGUUUCAACUGUAAUUUUUCCUGGGGAUACAACUGCGGUUCCCAAGGGUUGGGAGAUUCCCACAAACGAGAAGAAGUUGAAAAUAGGAGUGCCUCUGAAGGCUGGCUUCAGUGAGUUAGUAGCUGUCACAAAAGAUCCUGGUUCCAACACCACAACAUUCACCGGAUUCUGCAUAGAUGUUUUUGAUGCUGUAGUCAAAGCAUUGCCUUAUGCUUUGCCUUAUGAGUACACCCCCUUUGCCAACUCUGAUGGCGAACCUGCUGGAACUUACAACGAUCUGGCCUAUCAAGUGUACUUGAAGGUAAGACUUGCUCUCUCCUUUUCUGUUCUUGUAACUAUAUCAGUUUGAAUAUCAUUCACAUUGAAGUAUUUUUUGUUUAUUGCCAACAGAAUUAUGAUGCCGUGGUUGGAGACAUAACUAUUGUCUACAACAGGUCCUUGUACAUCGACUAUACCCUGCCUUUCACAGAAAGUGGUGUCUCCAUGAUUGUUCCGAUUGUAGACAACAACAGCAAAAAUGCUUGGGUCUUCAUGAAACCUUUAACAUGGGACCUUUGGGUGACCAGUUUUUUGUUCUUUGUUUUCAUUGGAUUUGUGGUCUGGGUUCUUGAGCACAGAAUAAAUGAUGAUUUUCGAGGGUCAGCUUCAGAUCAAGCUGGCACUAGUUUCUGGUUUUCCUUCUCAACUAUGGUUUUUGCACAACGUAAUCUCCCUUCCCUUGUGAAUUUUACCUCUACUGUUGUACUAGCACUCCAUAUAUAUAAACACCAAAUUGACUUUAUGUUUAUAUUUACAGGGGAGAAAGUGGUUAGCAACUUGUCUAGGGCGGUGAUAAUCAUCUGGUGUUUUGUUGUGUUGAUCCUCACGCAGAGUUACACCGCCAGUUUAGCAAGCCUACUUACCGUCGAGCAGCUGCAGCCUACAGUUACUGAUGUGAGGGAGCUCAUUAAGAAAGGGGAGUAUGUGGGCUACCAGAAGGGUUCUUUUGUUCUAGGACUCUUGUUAGACUUGGGGUUCGACAAGUCCAAGCUCAUGGUGUAUAGUUCUGCAGAAGAAUGCCACCAUCUUUUCUCCAAAGGAAGUGGAAAUGGUGGUAUUGCCGCAGCUUUCGACGAACUGGCAUUUAUAAAGCUCAUUUUGUCAAGAUAUUGCUCCAAAUAUACCAUGAUUGAUCCUAAAUUUAAAACCGGCGGUUUUGGCUUUGUAAGCUCACUUUCCUAUCUUGUUAUUUCCAUUUACUCUGUGGCUAAUAAGUGCAUAGUUUCUCAUGUAUCCUUUCUUUUUGUAACUUCAGGUCUUCCCUAAAGGUUCUCCUCUAGUGGCUGAUAUAUCGAGGGCAAUUUUAAAUGUGACCGAGGGAGAUAAAAUGAAGCAAAUAGAGGGUGCAUGGUUUGGCAAAAAAAGCACUUGUCCAGAUUCCAGCCCCUCAAUUUCAUCUAAUAGCCUUAGUCUCAAGAGUUUCUGGGGGUUAUUUUUAAUUGCAGGACUAGCUGCAUUGUUAGCUCUCAUUAUCUUCGUAGUCAUGUUUGUUUACCGAGAAAGAAACGUCUUGAGGUCCUCUGAUUCCACAGCUUCAAUAUGGAGUAGAAUUGAAAACUUCUUUAGAAUUUUCAUUCAAAGGGACUCGACAUCCAGUACUUUCAGACAAAGUGAUCUGAAAGAUAGAAAUGGCAUCAGUCUGCCACCUAUGUGUGCGCCAAGCCCAUCAGAUUAUUCAGUGCACACGGAAUAUCCUGCCAAUCGAUCUUCUGCAAGCUAUGAUUCUAGUCCAAAUAGGGAAGCACCUCAAGAGGUAGUAUAGAUAUCGAUCAGCUUACCAACCGAAAUCAGGAGAGACCGACAGCUUUGGAAAUAGACCAUGAAAAUAAUUGACUUUUAGGUUAUUAUUUGACACUUCUGACACCAGUAGUCAUUAGCAUUGUAAAGAAAUGGAAUUACUGUAUUAAAAAUACAUGUAAGUGAGAUUAUUUUACUAAGAUUUAAGUAGGAUUAAACUGGGUUUCAGAAAUUGAGUUACUUUAUAUUUCUUGCCUUCUGUUUUUCUCUCUGAGUUGUGUUACUGAGGAGCAUUUGGCAUUACCUUCUGUACCUUCAUAUUUGUGAUAGACUUCUUGCCUUUUCUUACAAGUCCUAACUUAACAAGAACCCAGAGAUUUGCGUAGUGUUGAAGACUGCUUCAGGAAUCCAGGAGUCCUGUUUUUUCUAUUCUAUUAUCAUCAAAUAAAUAUUGAGCUAGUCUAUAGGAACAAAUUAGUUAGUUAAGAUAUUAUUUUCUGAUUUGAUGCUUUAUUAGAGCAUUUCGGUUGAUUGUUCUUCCUAUAAAUGUAAUGAAGUUUUAAUGAAUAAAAUAGCAACUCAAGUCUGUACUACAAUAGCAGAUUAUUAUCAUAAAAUUCUCUCCUGUUUUCUUUUCUUUUCUUCCUUCUAUAAUCAUUAAUUGAUGUUAGAGCAAUUUGUAUUCAGGGGCAUAUUAACUGCAACAAAACACCUCUGCAGUAGCAGGAGGAGAUAGCAGCAGCACCAACACAGGAUCCUUACCCUCAUCAACAACUGCAGCAGCAGCAGGAGACAGCAACUGCAGCAGCACAUGAUACUCACCCUCGUUAGCAACCAAUCUGAAUUAACACCUCCAACGGCUACUAUUCAGAAUGGUAAUUAACCAUACAUGGAAAUCAUAGCUGUGGCAGAUCAAAGAUAAAUAAUAAGGAAUCAACAGCUACCUCAACCAACGGCUACUUCUCUUAGAAGGAAACUACAGCUAUGGCAGACCUCUUAGAAGGAAACUACAGCUACCUCAUAUCAGAAACAAAUCAAUAUAUAUAAAAAAGGAAUACUGUAUUCAUAGAAAGAAAUAUGUGAUAAAAAGGCAAUAGUUAAUUACUACUCUAUAAAUAGAGAACAUCCUGUACAAAUUUAAGACAGUGCUCACGUUUGUAUUCUUGACACAGUAAUUGCAGUAAAUCCAUAUUCUUCAUCUACUGCGUUCCCCUGUUCAGUGUUUUUCUUUGGGCCUACAUUAAAAACUGAAGCAAGCUUCUCUCAUAUAACCCCUCUUGUUUUUUAUGAGGAGAAUUAUCUACUUUUAGCAGUGAAAAUGAAAACUUAUUUGGAGGCAUUAGAUCUAUGAGAACAACAUUUUGAUGUUACUCCAUUACCGAAUAACCCAACCAUGACUUAGAUCAAAAGCCACAAAGAAAGAAGAACCAAAGCUUAUCAUAUAAUCAUCAACUCUAUUAUACCAGGCUUUAGGUGUUUGCUUUAAACCAUAAAGAGCUUUCUUCAGCAAAUAAUCUUCUUCUCCCUAAACCACAAAUCUAGCUGGUUGUUGAACAUAAAUCUAGAAAGAAAAAUAAAAAGAUCAAAAGCAAAAGUGUGCUUGUUUGUUGGUGUUUCAACAACCAUUUUCACAAAAAUCAUGUCUCUCAAAUCAGCAAAGGAUGUCUGGGACUAUCUGAAGGACAAAUAUGUAUGAGAUGAAAGGAUACAUGACAUGCAAAUGCUGAAUUUAAUAAGAGAAUUUGAGCUACAAAGAAUGAAAGAAUCUAAGACUAUCAAGGAGUACUCAAAUAAAUUGCUUACUAUAGUUAACAAGGUUAAAUUACUUGGUACUACAUCCAUAGACUCCAAAAUUGUUGAGAAAAUACUGGUUUUAGUGCCUGAAAGAUAUGAAGAAUCAAUCACAACUUUGGAGAAUAUAAAAGAUCUAUUUAAAAUUACAAUGACAGAACUUUUAAAUGUUUUGAAUGUCCUGCAAGCUCAAGAACAACGGAGGCUUAUGAGGCCAGAUCGUUAUGUAGAAGGAGCUUUACCAACCACGCAUCAAGAUUCUGAAAAGGAUAAGAACAAAUUCUUCAAGAAAAAUCAGGCUUCAAGCAAUAAAAUUAAUGCUAAUCAGUUUCAAAACAAUGGAAGAUCUUUGAAAAAGGGUUAUUCACCAUGUCAAUAUUGUGAUAAGACAGAUCAUUCACCAUUCAAGUGCUGGAAAAGACUAGAUGCAAGGUGCAACAAGUGCAAUCAACUUGUGCAUGUAGUUGUCAUUUCCAAAACUAAACCUAAAAAACAAGAGGCAAAUACUGAAGUUGUUGACCAAGAUGAUGAAGUUUAAAUGUUUUUAGCUACUUGUUUUUCAACUAGAGAUUCCUCAAAUUAUUAGCUCAUUGACAUGAUUGCACAAAUCACGUGACUUUUGAUAAGAACCUUUUUCGUACACUGCAACCUACAAGAAUUUCAAAGUAUAUAGCAACAAAGGGAAAAAGAACCAUUGCAAAAUAAGUUGCCUGUUAGAGAGUAGGUGGUUCCAGUUCUACAUGUUUUUAUUUGGAGGGUUGAACUGAUUUUAAUGGAUUUGAUUUGAUAGUUGGCUGCUCAUUUGUUGUAGGUGUAAAAAGAUUUGUUUACAUCUCUGCUGCUGACUUUGGCUUGGUCAAUUACUUGCUACAAGGUUAUUAUGAGGGAAAGGUACUAAUUUUCAUUACUGUUUAUUUCAAGUGUUGUAUCUAGAAUCAUGUCACAAUAUUGCUAAUGGCUGGCAUGGCACAUCGUCAUCUUCAUCUUCAUUUUUCUGGAAACAAGGACUGUUUUCUAAAGCUUUAUAAAAACUAGUUUGUAUUAUAUGUAGAUACAAUUUGAUUUUUAUAAUACGUUGUUUGAUAUGAAAUAGUUAUAUCACAAGAAGAAUCAACACUUUCAAGUGUGCCUUUAUAUUUACUUUUCCCUUUUCUUAUCAUUCUUACCUCAUGUAAAUUUUUUACUUGUGGUUUGUUUGAAGUAGAAGGCUGCUGAAACAGAGUUGUUGACCAAGUUUGCAUAUGGAGGUAAUUUUUUUCUUUCCAUUAUUGUAAUCUGUACCUUUUAUAUAUCUGUCAUUCAUUUUAUUUUUUUAGCAACUGAAAUCUGAGAAAGCUGUCCUAAAACUUUUGAAUUUGGAAAACUGUAAAAUUUCCUUCAUGUAAAAAGCUAUUAUGAUAUAUUAGUUUCAUCCUUUAUUUCUUAGUACUCUUUUCACUGCAUUUAAUCGUCAAAUCUUGCAGUUUAGAAUGCUAGUGCAUGUAUUGGUUAGUAUCAUGGAUCAUAAAUGUGUUUUUUUUUUUGUAGCUGACAACGUAUUGCUAUCUUAUUUUAAUUAUGGAUUAUAGUAACAAUAAAUCUGAUGAAAUAUGUUUUGUUUCCUUGUUUAUGAGUGGUUCUCCAGCCUGAGUUUAUUUAUGGAACUCGCAAUGUUAGAAGUGUGAAGUUACCUCUUGGUGUAAUGGGUUCUCCGUUGGAGAUGGUAAGUUCUUGUGCAUCCUUGUACAUUUACCUAGAUUACUAGGUUAUCCCAAACAACACUUGAAUGACGUACAUCCAAUCCUGAAGCUUUUGGCAGAUUUAGGUUAGCCAAUCAAAGCCAUUGCCUCUGCAAUCCCCCCCCGUGAUGACUUUUCAAUUUCUCAAUAUUUGUGGUCCUUGCAAUUCAUUCAUAGUUUUAGUCCUUCAGCGCUUGAGCAGUCUAGUUUAACUCUUUAAGGGGGUAAAUGGAGAUCACAACUUGUCUUUUAGGACCAUGCUAUGAUUCUGCUCACCAGAAAUCAAGUUUUGAGGAGUGUUCUGUUGCCGUGUCAUCAUUUACAUGGGAGAAAUGCUUGAAAUGCGACGAGGAGGAUUCACUCAUAUCAUAUUUAAUCUAGUAAUUUGGAGGUUCAUUGUAAUUUAUUAAUGGCAAUCCCACUGCAGGUUCUCCAACAUGCAAAACCACUUAAACAGCUUCCCCUCGUUGGACCCUUGUUCAUGUUAGAAAUAUUUAGUUCUGGAAACUAAAGUUAAGUAUAGGAGAAACAGAUUCAAGAUAGCAGAGUUGAGUAGAAAGAUCAAUAAUAUUCAUUAAUUUCGAAUGCCUAUAUAAGGCUUACAUGGAACUUGGAAUGGAUUGAAACUCUCAACAAACUUGAGAGAUUAUUGGAAUUGAAAAUAACAAACUACAGCAGAAUGUUACUGCUGCAAAUCCUGAAGAAUCAAAAACAAUAAUAUAAAAUUCAAAUAACAUAAUUGCACUUAACUCUAUCUUACUCAAGGCAUAAUCUUAUAAUUCUAACACUCCUCCUUGAGACUUGCCUUGGACAAACCAAGUUUCAUCCUUAAAAAUUCCAGUCUUGAUCUAGGAAGAGCUUUAGUCAUUAAAUCAGCAAGUUGAACAUCUGUUGGACAAUAGUGUAGCUUUAUAAGUAGAUUCUUCUCAACUUCUCUUAUAGAAUGAAAUUUCACAUUGAUGUGCUUGGUUCUGCCGUGUUGAACCAGAUUUAGAGCAAUAUCAAUAGCAGAUUUGUUGUCAUAAUAAAGCUCAGCUGGUGAGCUUUGUUCUUGACCCAAAUCACCAAGCAACUUGUUCAACCAAAUUGCUUGAUUUACAGCAGCUGCCAUGGAGAUAUACUCUGCUUCUGCAGUUGAUUGUGCCACCACCUCUUGCUUCUUUGCAUUCUAACAGAUUGCACCUGAACCAAUGUUAAAAAAUACCCAGAGGUGCUUUUCAUGUCAUCAACACUCCUUGCCCAGUCACUAUUUGCAUAACCAAUUAGUUUUACUCCUCCUGUCUUCAAGUACCAAAUGCCAAGAUUAGUUGUUCCUCUAAUGUACUUCAACACCCUUUUAGCAAUUCCCAUGUGAAUAUUGCUAGGUGAGCUCAUGAACCGUGACAGCAAACCAGCUGGAAACACCAGGUCUAGUUGCUGUCAAGUAUAGUAAACUGCCCACUAAACUUCUAAAUCCAAAGGGAUCUUCAAGUUUCUCACCAUCAUUCUUUGAAAUCUUCUCAUUUUGUGCCAAAGGAGUUGCUACUUCUUUGCAUGACUCAAGUUUGAACUUCUUGAGUAUAUCAACAACAUAUUUUCUUUGUGAAACAAAAAUACCCGAACUACAUUGAUGUAUCUCCAUUCCAAGAAAGUAGUUCAUAAUGCCAAGAUCAGACAUUUCAAAAACAUCUUGCAUUUCUGUUUUGAACUCUUCCAGCAACUUUGCAUUGCUUCCAGUAACUAGCAUGUCGUCUACAUAGAGUGAUAUCACCAGCUGCAAACCAUCUUCAUCUUGUUUCAGAUACAAAGUAGCUUUAUUUUCACUUCUCUUGAAUCCCAGUUGAAUCAAAUAAGUGUCAAUUCUGCUGUACCAGGCCUUUGGUGCUUGCUUCAAUCCAUAAAGAGCCUUGUGUAGCUUGUAUACUUUGUGUUCAUUACCAGCAACUACAAAGCUUUCUGGUUGCUGAACAUAAAUUUCUUCAAGAAGUAUUCCAUUUAGAAAAGCAGACUUAACAUCUAAAUGAUAUACUCUCCAUCCUUUUUGUCCCGCAAGAGCAAGUAAGAGUCUUAUAGUGUCAUGCCUAGCUACUGGUGCAAAAGUAUCUCCAUAAUCCACUCCAGCAACUUGAGCAAAGCCUUUAACAACCAAUCUAGCCUUGUGUUCGAAGAUUGAACCAUCUGGAUUGAAUUUGGUUCUGAAGACCCACUUCACUCCAAUUUCCUUUUUAUCUUCAGGAAGAUCAAUCAAUCUCCAAGUCCCAUUUCUUUCAAUGGAAUCAAUUUCUGAUUUCAUUGCUUCAAUCCAAACUGGAACUCCUGCAGCUUCAGUAUAGUUUGUAGGCUCAGCAUGUACAAGAUUACAUUUUUCGUACACAUCAGACAAUGGCCUAACCUUAAGUACUGCUGUAUCUGAAGUUGCUUCAAUGUCUUGUUGAACACCAAUACUUCUUACUAUUGGUUCAAGUGCAGCUGUGAUAUUCUGAUCAACUCCUUUUAAGUCCCAAUUCCAGCAGGAAUUCUCAUCAAAAUGCACAUCUCUGCUGACCUGAAUUUUAGCUGCAUUCAGAUUGAAAAUUCUGUAACCUUUUGAUUCUGUCGCAUAUCCCACCAGAAUUCCUUUCUCUGCUCUUUCAUCCAGUUUCCCUCUUUUGGCAGAUGGUACAAGGAAGUAGCACAAUGAUCCAAACACUUUGAGAUGUUUGACAGUAGGCCGGACACCAGACCAUGCUUCCAAUGGUGUUUUGCUUUGAACAUACUUAGUUGGAAGUCUAUUAAGCAAAUAUACUGAAGUAUUUACUGCUUCAGCCCAAAGAAACCUUGGCAACUUCUUUUCAAAUAAGAUACAUCUAGACAUCUCCAUCACAGUUCUGUUCUUCCUUUCAGAAACUCCAUUCUGCUGUGGAGAGUAUGGAAUUGUCAGCUGGUGUACAAUCCCAGCUUCUAAACAAAAGGCAUUGAACUCCUUCGAAAUAUACUCUCCUCCAUUAUCAGUUCUCAACACCUUGAUCUUCUGUCCACUUUGAGUUUCAGCCAUGCUCUUGAAGUUUUUGAACAUUAAUAGUGCUUGUGACUUGGUUUUCAGAAAAUAAACCCAAGUCAUUCUACUGAAGUCAUCAAUGAACAAUAUAAAGUACAUAUUAUUGCUCAAGAAGGCUGUGCUUUGAUCCACAUAUGUCUGAGUGGACUAACUCCAGCUUGUGAGUUGCUCUUUUAGAUAUACCUUUAGGAAAUGGUUGUCGGUGUUGCUUUCCCAGUUCACAGCUUCCACAUGUAUGAGCAGUAACAUGAAUUUCAGACAUGUUUUCUACCAUUCCAGUAUCAUAUAGCAACUUUAAUGAAUUGAGAUUGUAAUGACCAAAUCUUUUGUGCCAAAGAAUGCUUUCAUCAAUCUUAGCACUAAACACAUGUCCUUUAACAACAUCAAGCUUCAAAUAGAAGCUAUUACCAUCCAUUUUGAUUUUUGCUAUCUCUGAAUUAUGUGUAUCAAUGAUAAAGCAAAAUUUCUCUUUAAAAGAGACUUCAUAACCAUUCCUGAGCAUCUGUGCAACACUAAGGAGAUUUUGAUCUAGUUCUGGAAUGUAAAGAACAUUUGUGAUGGUUCUAAUACCUUUAUUUAUGCUGACCGCAACAGUGCCUUUCCCUUUAGCCUGCACAAUAUCUCCAUUUCCCAACUUGAUCUUCGGUUGAACUAAUCUGUCAAUAGAAGAAAAGAUUGACAGAAACUUAGACAUGUGACUUGUGCAGCCACUAUCUAUAAGCCAUGUAUUUAGUUUAGAAGUAUUGCUAGCUUGUGAUGCCAUAAACAAAUGCUCUUCAUCAUCUUUGCCUUCUUCAGAAACAUUUGCUUGUUGUUGUAUUUGUUGCUGCUGUGAUUGUUUCUUCUUGAUUCUGUAAAAUUUCUCACUAUGACCCAGAUUAUUGCAGAACAUACACUGGAGAGAAGGUUUAGCCUUAAACCAACAAUCUUUCUCAGUAUGGUUAGUUCUUCUGCAAUAAGGGCAUGGUAAGAAAAUCUGUCUUUUUGAAGAUGUACUUGUUUUCCUUUUAGAAAACUUGACAUGUUUGUUUCUUGGCAGGUUACCAACACUCCUUCCCUUAUUGUUUGCUUGGAAAGCCCCUUCAACAGUCUCAUCAUCUCUCAUAUGAACCCUUUGCUCCUGAACAUGAAGUUUGCUAAUUAACUCUGCAAUAGUAAGAUUUUGCAAAUCGCAAGAUUCUUCUAUUGCAGAGAUCUUGGCUUCAAACUUUUACGGGACUGACAUCAUAAGUUUUUCUACUACCUUAUGAUCUUCAAAUGUAUUUCCAAGAAGUCUCAUUUGGUUUACAACAUCCAUUAAUCUGCCAGAGUAAUCAUUGACAGAUUCAUUGUCUUUCAUCUUCAUCAACUCAAAUUCCCUUUUAAAUGCAAGAAGCUUAACUGCUUUAACUCUGUUGCUCCAUUCAAAUUCAAUUUGGAGCUUAUCCCAUACUUGUUUUGGUGUCUCCAGAUUCAUUAUUUUGGUGAAAAUAUGAUCUGCAAGUCCAGAAUGUAGGCAGGUAAUGGCUUUGUCCUUCUUGAGUUUUUUUUCUUCAUGUGCUUUCAUUUGAGCGAUUGUGGGAUUUGCAUUCAAUGGUGGUGGAUCAGAAUCGGUCACCACAACAUUCCACAAGCCUUGAGAUCUUAGAUAAAAUCUCAUUUUGACAGCCCAAAUAUGAUAGAGUUCACCACUAAACAUUAGAAUUGCAUAUGCUAUAUUACUUGAAGUAGACAUUGAAAUAGAAGGAAAAUAACUCACUAGUAUUUAUGCUCACCCUCUCUGUGUUUAGCACUCACAAUACUUGCCUCACCCUCUUUGUGUUUGUCACUCACAAUACUUGCCUCACAACCCGUAUGAUAUAUUGCUCUGAUACCACUGUUAGAAAUAUUUAGUUCUGGAAACUGAAGUUAAGUAUAGGAGAAACAGAUUCAAGAUAGCAGAGUUGAGUAGAAAGAUCAAUAAUAUUCAUUAAUUUCGAAUGCCUAUAUAUAGGCUUACAUGGAACUUGGAAUGGAUUGAAACUCUCAACAAACUUGAGAGAUUAUUGGAAUUGAAAAUAACAAACUGUAGCAGAAUGUUACUGCUGCAAAUCCUGAAGAAUCAAAAACAAUAAUAUAAAAUUCAAAUAACAUAACUGCACUUAACUCUAUCUUACUCAAGGCAUAAUCUCAUAAUUCUAACAGUUCACUCCCCCUGUCAAUAUUACUGUCGUGGUGAAAGUUGUAGUAAGGGCGACAACUGAUCCAGUUUUCCCUCCAGGCAUCGUGGAUGUUUAUGGAAUACUUUGUUAUAGUCAGCAGCAAAGAGCAAUAUAGAUUUGUUGACAGCAAUUUCUACUUCUUCUUCUUUCCUUUUUUUUUCCUUCUUGCUAUAGCAAUUUCUAACCUUCAUUUAUAGUUGCUAGUUCAAGGUUUUUUCCCAUAAGUUUAUGGCACUUCUGUGGUGGAUGGUGAUUAGGGAUCAACCAUUUUAAGUUUGGUUCUUUUAAUUUCUUUCAAGGAUAGAGACUUUCAGAAUCUCAGGAAAGAACUAAAAUAAUGGCUUAUCUCUGACAACAUGCAGUUAAUAUAUAAAUUUCCUUUGUAACAGUCAAUAGAGGGGACUGAUUUCUUAAUCAUUGAACACUAAAACUGGAAUUGAUGGACUUAAUCGUGAAUUAAUUACUUUAAUCAAUCCAAGCUGACUUUCUGCAUCACGCAAUAGGUAUAUAAGCAAGCAAUAGAAUUUAAAAUUCACGUUGAUAUUUUUAUACAUUUUCCUUUCUGCAGCUAUUAAUUUAUCCUCCUAGCAAUCACAAUAAAAUGGAAGAAAAUAGUCCUCUUGUGAUAGGCAUACAUCAUGAAACCAAAUGAAACCCUUGGUUAAAAUUGAAAGAAUGAUUUAGAAAACUGUUUUAUAUUUAUAUAUAUAUUUGGAUUCUUUUUUGUUUUUUUUUUUAGUUUAACGUGGGUGUCCGGGCCAGCUUGCGCGCACCUCGACUAAUCCCACGGGCCCUGAAGUUAACGACCAUGUAAACCUCCAGUGCCCAUCAUAUGAGUAACCAUAAGACUCGAACUUGAGACUACAGCCUCUUAGUCCCAAGCUCUUACCACUGGGCCACCACCUAGAUGGUUUAUUUGGAUUCUUUUCUUGAAACUUGUUGUGUUGGUCAUAAUUUUUAAACUAUGUGAGGGUUCAUCAAGGGCAAGGGACAAGUUAGGGGCAAGAGGAUCGACCUCAAAACAAAAUUAAAAAGAAAAAAGAAUUAAAAUGAUGAUGUUUUGUUAAUUUUUUUUUUAAAUUAACAAGUUGAUUUUUCUAUUUUUUUUCCAAUUAAAACCAAUUAAAGCUCCAAAUCAAGCGGAUCUGAAUUUUAAAACAGUUGCGUUGGUCACCAGUCAGAAGAAUAAAGGCUACCCAACAUCCAAAGGCACUGGGUCCUACACUUCUUCUUAAAAAUCUACGAACAUAAAUAAUAAGAAUUAUUUUCAAUUCAAAACUCUAAAUUAUUUGAUUAUAUAUGAAUCCAUCUUGACCUUAUUUUUUGUCAUCUUGGGUAAACUGUUGAGAAACACCUCAAUCUUUUAAGUAUCGAUUAGAAACGCGGUCUAACCCGAGUUUUUUAAAAAUUUAAAUUUUUUUUUAUUUAAAAUUUAAAAUUUUUUUAUCAUUUUAAUAUACUGAUAUUAAAAAUAAAAAAAUAUUAUUUUAAUAUAUUUUUAAAUAAAAAACACUUUAAUUUACCAUUAUUAUCUUAAUCCGGCCUCUUAAGCUGAAUAAAAAUUUAUGGUGAUUUUGGAACUAUAAUUAAGAAGUAGUACCCAGGAAAAAGCUUGCAGCAGUGUAAAACACGACUGAAUUACGGGAGACAACGAUGUGACAUAACAAAGGAUGCUUCCUCGAACGAAGCCACAACUAAAAUAAAUGAUUGGCAUAUUCGAACCUUGUCCUAAACAAUAGACAAUUAGGCACGCACUGUUUAAUGAUUUCCUGCCAAUAAAAAUAUUAAAAAAGGAACUGAUUUGUGAUCUUCAAUUAUAUAUUUGGGUCUAAGACUUCACUUUAUGCUAACUGAUUUAUAUUUUAUUAUGAUUACGUAAGGCACACUGGUUUUCUCAGCUUCAGCUUGUUGAGGAAAGCCGGCCUUGUAUGAUUUCUCAAACAAGCAAGAAAAAGCCCGGUGCUUUCUGUUAGUAAAACCUAAAAACAAUGAAACAUAUUAUCUUAUUAAACUCAAACUGGAGAAGAUGAUGUCGGAACGAAGCCCUUUGCCACCAACACCUCAAGAGUUUAGGGGAUCUAUGCUACAAGCUUGAAUAUUCACUAACUAAUCACAAAUACUUUGAUUUAGUCAAGGGUAAACGAUGGUGAAAUAACCAAUAAGACAAGGGAUAUUUAUCAGUGACCAGAACAAGGCGAAUUCCGACAGAUCUGAGGGCAACUAAUUUGUCAUAUGUGACCAAUACGUCCAAGUGCCUCUGUUUUACAUGCGAACAUUAACAUGUGCCGGCGACAUUGACUUUGAUGGGGGUGUACAGUACAGUGUAAAUGCAAAUCUCUUGCCAUUCUCCUCUUCCAACUCUUGCCAUUGUAACUUAUUUCAAUAAUAAAAAAAAAAUCUUCUUUUAUAAUAAUCUUAAUAAUUAUGAUCAGGGGUGGAGAUAGGGAGCAAGUAGGGGCUCGAGCCUCUACCAAAAAAAUUAAACCUUUUUAGGAUUGUACACAUAUUUUAUAUGUGUAUCUUCUAUAUAAAUUUUUUUUCAAGUUUUGAUAUUUCCCUAGAAAAUUGUACACACCUUCUAUUUGAAAGAAUUCAAUAAAUUCUUCUUCAAUGUAAUUGAAAAUCGCUAUCGUAAAAUUGUAGCCCACGCAGGACCACGUCUCCAAUUUAUUAAUAUGAUUUGAUUCAAACAAUCAAAACAUGCAAUUUCCUAGUAAUUACAAUCACUAUUCCUCUCCUCUCUUCAAACCAAUACGGUGAGGCCCCUCCUCAAGAACUGGUCCAAGCUCUUCUCCUUCAAGGCUUUAGUUUCACCUUAUAAAUAACACUUCCUGCCUUCCAAGCUUAAACCAAGAAAACUAGCUAGAAUCAGCUCAACCAUAGGUGGACAACGAGAUGAUCAUGAAAAAAUACUCUUUAAAUCCUGUUCUAUCUUCAUUUUUCUUCCUUUCUUUGAUGAUUUUGUUCUCAGAAAUGGGGGUGGCCCAGAACACAACAUCUACAAUCCCAGUGAAUGUAGGAGUGGUUCUUGACUUGGCUUCUUUGGAGGCCAAUAUUGCUUUGAGCUGCAUCAACAUGGCCCUUUCAGACUUCUAUGCCUCUCAUGGUGACUACAAAACUAGACUGGUCCUCAACACCAGGGACUCAAAGAAAGAUGUUAUUGGUGCAGCUGCUGCAGGUUCCAUCUCUGCCCCUUCUCUUGGUUCUCAUCUCUUUUCUCCAAUUAUGAAUCAUUGCUCACCAUUUCUUACUUCUAAUUAUUAACCUCCAGCUCAUGCAACAUUUUAACAGUAGAGAUUUUUACAUUCUGUAUUAAUUAUCUGAUGAGGUUCUCGACCUGCAAAUCUCUAGUUUGUUCAAAGAAUGCAGGUCCAUGGACAUGAUAUGAGAAUAUAUAUACCGUUCCAUGCUUGUUAUAUUUUUCUUUUCAAGCUAAGGGUAUUCUCAGAAAAACCUGCACAUAUCUAGACAAAACUCUCUUUCUGAUCGUGUUUACGUAAGCCAUCCACGCUCGAACCGGUUUAUAUAAUCAUUCUAAGAACCGGUGUUGAUUGAGGAAUUUCUUCCUCAACCUUUCAUUGUAACCCAAAAUGACAACGUCUUGGGAAGCUUAAUUAUCGGCAAUCAACACCUUAAUUAAGACCAAGAAGGACACGUUUUAUCUAAGCCUUACUGUGAUAAUGAAGCAAUAACACACAAAAGUCUAACUUUCUGCUAGCAACGAUAAGGGGGGUCAAAUCACACAAAAGUCUUCAUGCCCCCCCCCUAAUACUGGAGGAGGUCUUCUAGGCUAAUAUAAUAAGGUUGUCAAUUCUGUUCUGUUUCAUCCGGAAUAACCGAAAUAUUUCAUACCAAUUCAAAAAAUAAAACAAAACGGAACAAAUUUCAUCUCAUUUUAAAUCUCAGUCCGUUUCAUAUUUUUCGGCCAAAUUCCGCCCGAAACGUUCCGGUUUCAUUCCACAUGUUCUGUUCCGCUCUUGAAAAGUUAUUGAAUCAAAUUAAACCUUGUUCAAUUUAAUUAAUUAAACCACCCAAUUAUAAAAAGCUCUUUUUUAUUACUAUUUUCAAUAACAAUGAUAUUGAUAAUAAUAUUGAAAGUUAUUAUUAUUAUUUUCAUUAACAAUAAUAUUAAUUUUUUAAAAUUAGAUUUAUCACUAAUAUAUAUGGUUUAUAUUCAUGUUGUUUUUUUCAUGUUUAUACUUUGUAGGAAUUUGAGCAAAACAAGGAGUGUUUUAGAUUUUAUUAGCCUUGAUAACAUUGACCUAACUUUAUAUUUAAAAUAUUUGUAUUAAAACAUUUUAUUUUCAUAAUAUUUUGAUAUUUUGUUUAAGUUGAAUUACUUUAAGUUAAAAACCUAUUUAAUCUUGACUAUUUAGGAAUAUUUUAAAUUUUAAAAUUAUAUUUGUUUGGCAUUGUGUUUGUAUUGCAUAAUUUAUAAUUAAUUUAUCUUGAAUUUGAAUUAUGUUUGUUGAAUAUAUAUAUAUAUAUAUAUAUAUAUAUAUAUAUAUGAACAGUACAACCCCGAAACGGCACGCUGAAACACUCCGAAACUGAAACAUUCCAUUCCAAUUGAAAAAACAAAACACCUACCGAAACGGAAUUGACAACCUUGAAUAUAAUAGCAAUUACAUAAUAAACAUAAAAGAUUUUAUUGAGUUAAAAAAAACUAAAAAAUAAACUUUAAUAGUAAAUAGAUCUACUAGAAAAUACUUUAAAAUCUAAAAACAUCAAGAAAUUAAAACAUAAUCCUAAAAGAACAAAAAAAAAUUAUAAAAAAAUAAUAAAUUCAAAUCUAAUAAUGGAAGACCCAACAGUCCAAUAAAUAACGCAGUUAUCUUAUUCUUAAGAUAACAUUGAAUUUUUUUUAACUCUAGCUAACAAUUAGAUCUCUGAUUAUUUCAUUUUUAAAAUGCUAACCUAUGAUGCGCGGUCAAACUUUUUUUUAAAUCACUUUUGAAUUAUUAAUAAUUUACAAUUAAUGUCAUUGAAUAAUUUGUUUAACUUGUCACUGUCUUAUCAGCGACCUUUUUAUAUGUAAUUAACAGCCUGAGAUGUACUUUUUAAAAUAAAAUAUGAAUAUGAUAAGUUUGGCACUGCCUAUUUUAAUUGUUUAGGACUGCGACGCCGAUCAUUGCAUUAUACUUGAAUCAUCAUUCAAUUUUGAUAAUCAUAUUCUAUAAAUUAUUUUUGUUGAAAUAAAAACAUUAUUUUUUAUUAAAAAAUAAUAUAAAUUAUAUUUUAGAAUCUUAUUUAACAAUUUAAAUUAUUAGGUUAAAAUAAUUUUUUAAUAUGAUAUAAAAAUUUUAAUAAUUAAAAAAACACGAGUUUGAAUCUUAUUUUUUCUUCUGUCUAUUUUAAAAUUUUAUUUUAGAAUUUUAUUUAAUAAUUUAAAAUUUUUUUUUUGUUUUUUUUAUUUUAAAAUGAUAAAAAUUCAUUAUAAAAUUAUUCAAGACACACGUUUAUUUUAUGUAUAAGUCGNNNNNNNNNNNNNNNNNNNNNNNNNNNNNNNNNNNNNNNNNNNNNNNNNNNNNNNNNNNNNNNNNNNNNNNNNNNNNNNNNNNNNNNNNNNNNNNNNNNNNNNNNNNNNNNNNNNNNNNNNNNNNNNNNNNNNNNNNNNNNNNNNNNNNNNNNNNNNNNNNNNNNNNNNNNNNNNNNNNNNNNNNNNNNNNNNNNNNNNNNNNNNNNNNNNNNNNNNNNNNNNNNNNNNNNNNNNNNNNNNNNNNNNNNNNNNNNNNNNNNNNNNNNNNNNNNNNNNNNNNNNNNNNNNNNNNNNNNNNNNNNNNNNNNNACUUCCAUCAGGAGUUCAUAUUUCUUGCGAGCAACACAAAAAUGAUUCAGCUCAAGUGAAUGCCAUAAGUGCUAUAGUUCAAGCCUUUGGAUGGAGAGAAGCGGUGCCCAUCUACAUUGACAACGAAUAUGGAGAAGGAAUCAUACCUUAUUUAACUGAUGCUCUGCAAGAAGUUGAUGCUCGUGUGCCCUACCGGAGUGUCAUUUCUCCAUCGGCCACUGAUGAUCAAAUUGUUGAGGAGCUUUAUAAGUUGAUGACAAUGCAAACUAGAGUUUUCAUUGUGCAUAUGUAUCGCUCUCUAGGCACUCGGCUUUUCACCAAAGCAAAAGAGAUUGGAAUGAUGAGUGGAGGCUAUGUUUGGAUCAUGACAGACGGUCUGAGUGUUGAUUUCUUGAGUUCACCGAAUCAUUCUGUCACCGAUACUAUCCAAGGAGUAUUGGGUAUUAAACCUUAUGUUCCAAGAACAAAACAGCUUGAAUAUUUUCGAGCUCGGUGGAAAAGGCAAUUCCUACGAGAUAAUCCAAAUAAAUUUGAUGCUGAGUUGAACAUUUAUGGACUCCUGGCCUAUGAUGCUGCUACAGCAUUGGCCUUGGCAGUUGAGAAAGCCGGCACUACAAAUUUUGACUUCCAAAAGGCAAAUGUUCCUAGCAAUUCAUCAACUGAUCUUGCAACUCUUGGCAUCUCUUUAAAUGGUCCAAACAUUCUUCAAGCUUUAUCGACCACUAGUUUCAAAGGCCUUACAGGAGAUUACCUUUUUGUUGAUGGGCAGUUGCAAUCACCAGCUUUUCAGAUAGUUAAUGUGAAUGGGAAUGCAGGAAGACGGAUUGGAUUUUGGACACCAACAGAAGGACUUGUGAAAACACUGAAUCCGAGAAUAAAUAAACGUAUGAAUUCAACUUCUACUUCCAGACUUUCAACUGUAAUUUUUCCUGGGGAUACAACUGUGGUUCCCAAGGGUUGGGAGAUUCCCACAAAUGAGAAGAAGUUGAAAAUAGGAGUGCCUGUGAAGUCUGGCUUCAGUGAGUUUGUAGCAGUAACAAAAGAUCCUGGUUCCAACACCGCAACAUUCACCGGAUUCUGCAUAGAUGUUUUUGAUGCUGUAGUCAAAGCAUUGCCUUAUGCUUUGCCUUAUGAGUACACCCCCUUUGCCAACUCUGAUGGCGAACCUGCUGGAACUUACAACGAUCUGGCCUAUCAAGUGUACUUGAAGGUAAGACUUGCUCUCGCCUUUUCUGUUCUUGUAACUAUAUCACAUUGAAUAUCAUUCACAUUGAUGUAUUUUUGUUUAUUGCCAACAGAAUUAUGAUGCUGUGGUUGGAGACAUAACUAUUGUCUACAACAGGUCCUUGUACAUCGACUAUACCCUGCCUUUCACAGAAAGUGGUGUCUCCAUGAUUGUUCCGAUUGCAGACAACAACAGCAAAAAUGCAUGGGUCUUCAUGCAACCUUUGACAUGGGACCUUUGGGUGAGCAGUUUUUUGUUCUUUGUUUUCAUUGCAUUUGUGGUCUGGGUUCUUGAGCACAGAAUAAAUGAAGAUUUUCGAGGGUCAGCUUCAGAUCAAGCUGGCACUAGCUUCUGGUUUUCCUUCUCAACUAUGGUUUUUGCACAACGUAAUCUCCCUUCACUUGUGAAUUUUCCUUCUCCUGUUGUACUAGCACUCCAUAUAUAAUCACCAAAUUGACUUUAUGUUUAUAUUUACAGGGGAGAGAGUGGUUAGCAACUUGUCUAGGGCGGUGAUAAUCAUCUGGUGUUUUGUUGUGUUGAUCCUCACGCAGAGUUACACCGCCAGUUUAGCAAGCCUACUUACCGUCGAGCAGCUGCAGCCUACAGUUACUGAUGUACGUGAGCUCAUUAAGAAAGGGGAGUAUGUGGGAUACCAGAAUGGUUCUUUUGUUCUAGGACUCUUGUUAGACUUGGGGUUCGACAAGUCCAAGCUCAAGGUGUAUGGUUCUCCAGAAGAAUGCCACCGUCUUUUCUCUAAAGGAAGUGGAAAUGGUGGUAUUGCUGCUGCUUUCGACGAACUUGCAUAUAUAAAGCUCAUUCUGUCAAGAUAUUGCUCCAAAUAUACCAUGAUUGAUCCUAAAUUUAAAACAGGCGGUUUAGGCUUUGUAAGCUCACUUUCCUAUCUUGUUAUUUCCAUUUACUCUGUGGCUAAUAAGUGCAUAGUUUCUCAUGUAUCCUUUCUUUUUGUAACCUCAGGUCUUCCCUAAAGGUUCUCCUCUAAUGCCUGAUAUAUCGAGGGCAAUUUUAAAUGUGACCGAGGGAGAUAAAAUGAAGCGAAUAGAGGAUUCAUGGUUUGGCAAAAAAGGCACAUGUCCAGAAUCCAGCUCCUCAAUUACAUCUAAUAGCCUUAGUCUCAAGAGUUUCUGGGGGUUAUUUUUAAUUGCAGGACUAGCUGCAUUGUUAGCUCUCAUUAUCUUCAUAGUCAUGUUUGUUUACCGAGAAAGAAACGUCUUGAGGUCCUCUGAUUCCACAGCUUCAAUAUGGAGUAGAAUCGAAAACUUCUUUAGAAUUUUCAUUCAAAGGGACUCGACAUCCAGUACUUACAGACAAAGUGAUCUGAAUGAUAGAAAUGGCAUCAGUCUGCCUACUAUGAGUGCGCCAAGCCCAUCUGACUAUUCAGUUGACACGGAAUAUCCUGCCAAUCGAUCUUCUUCAAGCUAUGAUUCUAGUCCAAAUAGGGAAGCACCUCAAGAAGUAGUAAUAGAUAUCGAUCAGCUUACCAACCGAAAUCAGGAGAGACUGGCAGCUUUGGAAAUAGACCAUGAAAAUAAUUGACUUGUAGGUUAUCAUUUGACACUUUUGACACCAGUAGUCAUUAGCAUUGUAAUGAAAUGGAAUUACUGUUGAAGAGAAUGAUAUUUUCUUAUUGUAUUACAGAGUAAGCAAAGGUUACAAUUUAUAAUGAUGGUUUAAUACAAAGAGCCUAUAUUAUUGCCUAUGAUCAAACCUAAUUAUCUAUGAAUAAGGAAACAAAUAAGUAAAGAUUCAAUUACAGUAUUUGACUAAACUUGAUUUCCUAUGUUGUGCUUGGUUUCCUUUAACACUCCCCCUCAAGUUGGAGUGUAUGUUAAUUACAACCAACUUGCUAAGAAAAGUCUCAAACUGUGUGGAGCUUAAUGGCUUGGUAAACAAGUCUGCUGGUUGGUGUGUAGUUCGAAUGUAGGCUGUCUGAAUCAUUCCUGCUUGAAUUUUCUCACGUAUCAAAUGACAGUCUAUUUCUAUGUGCUUGGUUCGCUCAUGAAAGACGAGAUUCGAUGCUAUGUGCAUUGUUGCUUGAUUAUCGCAGAAUAAGGUUACUGGCUUUGUGUGAUUUAUUUGUAAGUCCUUCAAAAUGUUUUUCAGCCAUGUAAUUUCGCAGCAUGUAGUAGCCAUGGAGCGAUAUUCUGCCUCUGAACUUAAACGUGAUAUUGUUGUCUAUUUCUUGGUCCUCCAUGAAACUAGUGCUUCUCCAAGUAAAAUGCAGUAACCAGUAACUGAUCUUCUCGUGUCCUUACAACGAGCCCAAUCAGCAUCACAAAAUGCUCGUAACUAAAGUGCACCUGUGGACGGCAACAAGAUGCCUCGUCCAAGUGUUUGUUUGAUAUAUUUGAGCACUUUAUAAGUUGCAUCCAGAUGUGGUUGACGGGGCUUGUCCAUGAACUGAUUUAGGAUAUGCACAACAUAAGUCAAGUCAAGUCAAGUCUAGUCUAGUUAUAGUAAGGUAGAGUAACUUGCCAACUAACCUCCUGUAUGUUGAUCCAUCCUCCAAAAGCUUUCCAUCGGAUUGUGUUAGGGACACAUUUUGCUCCAAAGAAAACUGAGAUGGCUUGACACUCAAAACCCCCGCAUCAUCCAGAAUGUCAAAUGCAUAUUUUCUCUGUGACAAACUGAUGCUAUGUCAUGAUCUGGCAACCUCAAUGCCAAUAAAGUAUUUAAGUUGCCUCAAGUCCUUAAGUUUGAAUUGAUUGGACAAGAAAAGUUUGGUGUUCUCUAUGUCUUGCAAAUUAUUCCCAGCUAAUAUCACAUCAUCAAUAUAUAUCAGUAAUGCUAGAAAGUUACCAUGAUGGCUUCGAGCGAACAACGAAUAAUCAGAUAAGGACUGAUGGAAUCUUGCAGCCUUGAGUGCACCGAACAACUUGAUAAACCACUGUCUAGAGGCUUGUUUUAAGCCAUACAGGGAUUUGUGAAGUUUGCAAACAUGUGUCUCCCCCUUUCGCCCGAAGCCAGGAGGCAAAGUCAUGUACACGUCCUCAUCCAAGUCACCAUGCAAGAAUGCAUUGUUGACAUCUAUUUGAUGUAAAUGCCAACCAUGCAAAGCUGCCACACUAAGUAAGAGGCGGACAGUGACCAUCUUGGCUACGGGAGCAAAAGUUUCCUGAUAAUCAAUGCCUUCAACUUGAUAAACCAUUGUCUAGAGGCUUGUUUUAAGCCAUACAGGGAUUUGUGAAGUUUGCAAACAUGUGUCUCCCCCUUUCGCCCAAAGCUCGAAGCCAGGAGGCAAAGUUAUGUACACGUCCUCAUCCAAGUCACCAUGUAAGAAUGCAUUGUUGACAUCUAUUUGAUGUAAAUGUCAACCAUGCAAAGCUGCCACACUAAGUAAGAGGCGAACAGUGACCAUCUUGGCUAUGGAAGCAAAAGUUUCCUGAUAAUCAACGCCUUUAACUUGGUUGUAGCCCUUAGCCACCAGUCGUGCCUUAUAUCGUUCCACUGUCCCAUCGGCAUUCAACUUGAUUUUGUAUACCCAUUUGCAGCCGAUUGGCCAUUUAUGGGAUGGUAAAGGUACCAAACUCUAAGUCCCAGUGGCCUGUAAAGCAGCUACCUCAUGGUGCAUGGCCUCACGCCACUGAGGAUGUUGAACAGCCUGUGAAAAACUGGUGGGUUCUUUGAGGAGAGUGAGUUGAGCAGUAUAAGCCUUGUGAUGGGGAGAAAGGUGAGUGUAAGAUAUAUAGGUAGAGAGGGGAUAAGUAGUACCUGAAGUGUGAACCAUGUUCGUGGAGGAUGUCGGGUCAGGCCUUGAAGGGAGAGUCGUGGCGAGAUGAAAAUCCUGCAAGUAAAGAGUGGUGAUAGAAUGACUGUCACGACGAAGGGUAGGAAUGUGCACAGGGGAGGAGGGGUUCUGUAUAGGAGAUAAAUCGGGUAGUUGACUUUCGACAGGACUGGCUGGAGAUGGGGACUCUGUGAGGGGAGCCGGAGGAGUAGACGAGCUAGUGGAAGGACGUGUCUGGGAAUUGGGUGAGCUGGUAAGUGCAGGACAGGGAAGCAGAGGAGGGGGUUCAAAAUGUAUGUUGAAAGGUAAGGAUGGAGUGUGAGUGGGGGUGGGAUGCGAAAAUGGUGGGGUAUUAGUAUGUGAUGCAAAUGUAAGAAAGGGAAAUAUGGAUUCAAAGAAAACGACAUCCCUGGAGACUAUUAUUCUUUGUGUAGCUAGAUCAAAAACUCUAUACCCCUUUUUCCCAUAAGGAUAUCCAAGAAAAAUACACCAAAAUGCUCGAGGAUCAAAUUUGGAGCAACUUUGUGCAUAGGUGGAAACAAAACAUAAGCAACCAAAUACCCGUAAGUGCGAGUAAUUGGGAACUAUGUUGAAUAGUUUUUCAUAUGGUGUUUUUUCAUAGAGAAUGGGGGUUGGUGUUUGAUUUAUGAGAUAAGCGGAAGCAAGAAUAGUGUCACCCCAAAAUUGGUUAGAAAGAAUGACUUGAGGCAGCAACUGAUCUAGUUUUCCCUCCCGGCAUCGUGGAUGUUUAUGGAAUUCUGCGUUAUAGCCAGCAGCAAGGAGCAACAUAGAUUUGUUGAUAUCGAGAGUUCAUUUGUUUUCUUCACCAAUAUAGAGUUCAUUAUCAAUAUCAAGAUUUCAUCUGUUUUCUUCUUCUUUGUAAGUUCUCAAAAUGUUAGCUGUUAGAGUUGGACUCGCAGCAUUUUGUGAACUGGAGACUCACAAAAAGGUUCCAUUAACAUGUCUGAUGAAAUAAAAAUACAUGAUAAGAACCAGCUCAUACCCUGUAUGUCUCCUGAUCAAAAGAGUUUAUGUAGGUCUCAUAAUAAAAAUCUUUAAAGCUAAAUUAUAUUUUGAAGAAUCUUUUUUUAAAGGUACAAAUUAAUAUAAUUUUAUAAAUUUUGAACAAAUUAUACAUUCAUACAACAAAUUUUUAUACGAAAAAGCUAUAAAAUAAGUAAAAAUCCAAACAAUAUAUAUAUAUACACACACACACACACACAAUAAAAAUUAACAUUAAAAAAUUGAGUUAAAAAAAUAGGUAGUUUUGAUUAUUUGAAGUGAAGAAUUCUCAAUAAAAUUUGAAUUAGAAUAGGAAUGUUGACAAACUAAGUGUUAGGGUGGUUAGAUUUAUAGUGGGAUGUUGAUUUGCGAUAAAAAUUAAGGGGCUGUAUUGUUUGUUGCAGUGAAAAAUAAAGGAGGACGAAGAAGAAAUGAGGGAGGGGGAGGGAAGGGUUGCUCGUCUAAUCAUAAAUUAAAUAUUAUAGACAAAUUUAUUGACGACAUUCUUCGAUGAAAUUUUCCUGUCUGUAAUUUUAUCUAUAAAAAUAACAUAUUACUAUAUUUUUUAGCUUUUUAAACUUCUUUUCCCACUGUAAUUCAUUUUUAUCUAUAUUUAUUGAUGUAUAUAAUAAGAGAAUAAUCUAUUAAUAAAAUUUACCGCAAUCUACUUACAAAAAAAAUUAUAUUGGUGUUUCUAUUUAUAUUUAUCAGUUUUCUAGAAAGUAAUAACAAUUUGUAAUGAUGUUAAUUUCAACACUACAUCAUAUGCAUAUGUAUAUUGAUCGUGUUCCUGUUUGGGGUAAAUUUUGAAUAGAAAUUUGAUAAUUUUAUUAGGGCGUAAGGAGGAUUAAAACUGAGUUGCAUUAUUAAAAUGGAAGGCUACAAUAUUUUGGACUCUUGGUAGCUAGUUGAUCAACUCCUGAUAAUCAAUGCCUUCAACUUCAACUUGGUUGUAGCUCUUAGCCACCAGUCGUGUCUUAUAUCAUUUCACUGUCCCAUCGGCAUUCAACUUGAUUUUGUAUACCCAUUUGAGGAUGUUGAACAGCGCCUGUGAAAAACUGGUGGGUUCUUUCUUGCCAUAGCAAUUUCUAACCUUCAUUUAUAGUUGCUAGUUCAAGGUUUCAAGUUUGGUUCUUAAUUUCUUUCAAGGAUAGAGACUUUCAGAAUCUCAAGAAAGAACUAAAAUAACGGCUUAUCUCUGACAACAUGCAGUUAAUAUAUAAAUUUCCUUUGUAACAGUCAAUAGACGGGACUGAUUUCUUAAUCGUUGAACACUAAAACUGGAAUUGAUGGACUUAAUCGUAAAUCAAUUACUUUAAUCAAUCCAAGCUGACUUUCUGCAUCCCGCAUUAGGUAUACAAGCAAGCAAUAGAAUUUAAAAACCAAGUUGAUAUUUUUAUACAUUUUUCUUUCUACAGCUAUUAAUUUAUCCUCCUAGCAAUCACAAGAAUCAUUUGGAUUCUUUUCUUGAAACUUGUUGUGUUAGUCAUGAUUUUUAAACUAUGUCAGGGUUCACCAGGGGCAAGGGACAAGUUAGGGGCAAGAGGAUCGACCUCAAAACAAAAUUAAAAGGAAAAAAGAAUUAAAAUGAUGAUGUUUUUGACAAUUUUUUUUUAAAAUUAACAAGUUGAGUUUUUCAUUUUUUUAUUUUUUUCAAUCAAAACCAAUUUAGGCUCCAAGGCGUUGGUCACCAGGUCAGAAGAAUAAAGGCUACCUAACGUCAUCCAAGGCACCUGGUGUUCCAAGGCACUAGGUGUUGGAGAUAUCUGAACCGGAGGAGAGCCCCCACUUAAUUCUUCUUAAGAAUCUAUGGUGAUUUUAUUUAUUUUGAAGUAGAAUUAAGAAGUAGUAGCUAGGAAAAAGCUUGCAGCAGUGUAAAACGCGAUUGAAUUACUCGAGAUAACGAUGUGUCUUGAAAAUAAACAAAAUCCUGUGACAUAACAAAGGAUGCUUCCUCGAAGAAAGCCACAACUAAAAUAAAUGAUUGGCAAAUUCGAUCCUUGUCCUAAACAAUAGACAAUUACGCACGCACUGUUUAGUGAUGGACGUCUAAGACUUGACUUUCUGUUAACUGAUUUAUAUUUUAUGAUGAUUAAAUUAUGCAAGAUUUAUAUUUUAUAAUAGUGAUUAAUUACGUAAGGUACACUGGUUUUUUUAGCUACAGCUUGUUCAGGAAAGCCUUGUUUCUCUCAAACAAUCAAGAAAAAGCCUGGUGCUUCCUGUUAGUAAAACCUAAAAACAAUGAGACAAUAUCUUAUUAAACUUGAACUCGAGAAGAUGAUGUCGGAACGAAGCUCUUUGCCACCAUCACCGCAAAAGUUGAGGGAUCUAAGCUUGAAUAUUCAAUAAUAAUCACAAAUACUUUGAUUUAGUCAAGGGUAAACGAUGGUGAAAUAACCACCAAGACAAGGGGAUAUCAUUGAUCAGUACAAGGCGAAUUCCGACGGAUUUUUGUCAUAUGUGACCAAAACGUCCAAGUGCCUCUGUUUUACAAGCAACAUUAACAUUUGCCGGCAACAUUGACUAUGGUGGGGGUACUGUACAGUGUAAAUGUAAAUCUCUUGCCAUUCUACUCUUCCAACUUUUUCGGAAUAACACUUUCUUAAAUAAUUUUAAUAUUUAACCAAAAUACCCACUCCCCAUUUGUGUUUUGGACAUCUUUUUUUUUUUUUUUUUUACAAUGGGAGACAUAAUUUCUAAAAAAGGGAAUUAGGGAAAGGAGUAAUCUGCUAGGAUAUAGUAUUUAGUUUCAAUAGUGUAACCAUUUAAUUACUAAGUGUUUGUUUUUGUUAGAACAUUCUUUUUAAAGCAUUUUUCAAUUUUUUUCUUAUGAAAAUUAAAGUGUUAAAUUAAUGGUUUUUAUGUGAUUUUAAUUAAAGUUCUGAUAUUAAAAAUAAAAAAAAUAUUACACAUCACAAUACUAAACACACAUUUGGUUUUAUUUUCAUCAAGUUCACAUAUAUACACAUCUUAUAAGAUAUUGGUGUAUACUUGGUAACUUAUUUUUUAUUUAUUUAUGAUAAAGGUAUUUUAAAUUAGUUUAUACAUUAAUUGAAAUUAAAUUUUUUUUACUUCAUAUAUAUAUAUAUAUUAAGAAGAAUUUAGCUAAUUCCUCUUAAUACCUUCUAUUUGAAAGAAUUCAAUAAAUUCUUCUUCAAUGUAAAUGUAAAUGUAAAUGUAAAUCGCUAUCGUAAAAUUGUAGCCCCUGCAGGACCCACGUCCAUGUAACCGGCCAUCUCCAAUUUAUUAAUAUGAUUUGAUUCAAACAAUCAAAUCAUGCAAUUUCCUAGUAAUUACAAUCACUAUUCUUCUCCUCUCUUCAAACUAAUACGGUUAGGCCCCUCCUCAAGAACUUUAGUUUCACCUUAUAAAUAACACUUCUUUCCUUCCUUCCUUCCAAGCUUAAACCAAGAAAACUAGCUAGAAUCAGCUCAACCAUAGGUGGACAACAAGAUGAUCAUGAAAGAAUACUCUUUAAAUCCUGUUCUAUCUUUCUUUUUCUUCCUUUCUUCGAUGAUUUUGUUCUUAGAAAUGGGGGUGGCCCAGAACACGACAUCUACAAUCCCAGUGAAUGUAGGAGUGGUUCUUGACUUGGCUUAUUUGGAUGCCAAUAUUGCUUUGAGCUGCAUCAACAUGGCCCUUUCAGACUUCUAUGCCUCUCAUGGUGACUACAAAACUAGACUGGUCCUCAACACCAGGGACUCAAAGAAAGAUGUUAUUGGUGCAGCUGCUGCAGGUUCCCUCUCUGUCCCUUCUCUUGGUUCUCAUCUCUUUUCUCCAAUUAUGAACCAUUGCUCACCAUUUCUUACUGCUAAUUAUUAACUUCCUCAUGCAACAUUUUAACAGUAGAGAUUUUUACAUUCUGUAUUAAUUAUCUGAUGAGGUUCUCGGCCUGCAAAUCUCUAGUUUGUUCAUAGAAAUGCAGGUCCAUGGACAUGAUAUGAGAAUAUAUAUACCGUUGCAUGCUUGUUAUAUUUUUCUUUUCAAGCUAAGGGUAUUCUCAGAAAAACCUGCACAUAUCUAGACAAACUCUCUUUCUGAUCGUGUUUACGUAAGCCAUUCACGCUCGAACCGGUUUAUAUAAUCAUUCUAAGAACCGGUGUUGAUUGAGGAAUUUCUUCCUCAACCUUUCAUUGUAACCCAAAAUGACAACGUCUUGGGAAGCUUAAUUAUCGGCAAUCAACACCUUAAUUAAGACCAAGAAGGACACGUUUUAUCUAAGCCUUACUGUGAUAAUGAAGCAAUAACACACAAAAGUCUAACUUUCUGCUAGCAAUGAUAAGGAGGGUCAAAUCAAAACACACAAAAGUCUUCAUAAAUUGUGGCUACCCCCCCCCCCCCCCCCUGUAAUAUUGGAGGUGGUCUCCUAAGCUAAUAUAAUAGCAAUAACAUAAUAAACAUAAAGAUUUUAAUGAGUUAAAAAAAACUAAAAAUAUAAACUUUAAAAUAGUAAAUAGAUCUACUAGAAAAUAACUUAAAAUCUAAAAACAUCAAGAAAAUUAAAACAUAAUCCUAAAAGAACAAAAAAAAUUAUAAAAAAAUAAUAAAAUUAAUUCAAACAGCAACUUAAAUCUAAUAAUGGAAGACCCAUCAGUCCAAUAAAUAACGCAGUUAUCUUAUUCUUAAGAUAACAUAGAAAUUUUUUUAACUCUGGCUAACAAUUAGAUCUCUGAUUAUUUCAUUUUUAAUAUGCUAACCUAUGAUGCGCGGUCAAACUUUUUUUUAAAUCACUUUUGGAUUAUUAAUAAUUUAGAAUUGAACUCAUUGAAUAAUUUGUUUAACUUGUCACUGUCGUAUCAGCUACCUUUUUAUAUGUAAUUAACAGCCUGAGAUGUACUUCUUAAAAUAAAAUAUGAACAUGAUAAGUUUGGCACUGCCUAUUUUAAUUGUGUAGGACUGCUACACCGAUCAUUGCAUUAUUUUUGUGGUUACCAAUUCAAUAAUCAUGUGGUUACCAUUUCAAUCUAUAAAUUAUUUUUGUUGAUAUAGAAAUAUUAGUUUUUGUUAUAUCCUAUAAUUUUAUUUAAUAAUUUAAAUUAUUAGGUUAAGAUUAUUUUUUGACAUGGUAUCAAAAUCUUGAUGACUAAAUGAUCACGAGUUCGAAUCUUAUCAUUCUUAUUUAUUUGAUAAAAAUUAAGCAUAAGUUUAAUGUAAACUUGUAUAAAUUUUAAAUUUAAAGAGUUUUCAUUUGAGAGGAUGUGUAAAAAAAUAAUAUAAAUUAUAUUUUAAAAUCUUAUUUAAAAACUUAAAUUAUUAAAUAAAAAUGGUUGUUUGACAGUUAUUGCAUUAUGCAUGUACACUCACCAGUUAAUUAGCUAGUUUUCCCUCAAGUUAAAACAAAGUUCAUGCUCUGCUUAAAAAGUUUGGAUUGAUAGUGAAAGAAAUAUAUAGCUCGAACAGCAUGGAUUGUUAGACAAAAGCAUGUUAAUUUUCUGCAGUCAUGCCAUUUCUUAAUUUAUAAGAUAGGGUUUAGUUAUUGUUUUAAAAUAGAAAAGACAAGGAAAUAAACAUAAAAAAAACAUAUUUUCUUGUUUUUAUUUUAUUUUAAAAUGAUAGAAAUUCAUUAUAAAGAUACAUGUUUAUUUUAUUCAUAAGUCCCUUAUGCAUUAGAACACUAACCAAAUCCAACAUAAGGUGUAGAGCAAUUAAAAGAGAGGAGCUCACAGAUCAUAAAACGUGACAGCAGAAUGAUCAUCCUAUAAGAGAGGAGCAAUUUCUGGCAUACACAUUUUUUAUUUAUUUUAUUUUUUUCUACCUUUUUUUUUUUUUUCUAUUUUUUUGGGGCUGGGCCCAGCUCAGCCCACAUGGGCUGGGCUAGACCCAGGCAGCCCAGCCCGGCCACUGGCCCAAGCCAGUGGCCCGGCUGGGCAAAAGAAGAAGAAGCACGCGUGAAGUAAAUUCACGCGUGCAUGAAUAGUGUGAAGGUAAUUAAAUUACCUUCACACUGCAUUUGAAAGUUUUAUUGAAUGCAGAGAAUGGAAACUUACCUGUGCAGCGGAGGACGGCGCCGAAGACGAUGGCGCGGUGGCUGUUUUCUUUUGUUUCCCGGUGUGGCUCCACUGUCUUUUGGGUUGUUCUUUUUCUGUAGGCACGAAAUGGUUGCCCCUCCGUUUUUCUUUCCUUCUCAGCUCUGUCUCUUUGCCUUUUUUUAUUUGCUCUGUGUUCGGGAAGAAAGCUUUUGGUCUGUGCUUUCGAAUUCCCCUGCUCUGGACAAAUACUAUGAUGGUAAGGGUCCUGGAACCGGGGGUUGGCUGGACCCAAGCUUUCUCGGGUUCUUUGCUUUGUUUUUGCUCUGGUUCUGCCUCUGUUUUUGCUCUGGUUUUCCUCUGUUUUUCUGGGUUUUUCUUCCUUGUUUUUGCUUGCGUUCCUCUCUUCCUGCUUCUGUUUUCUUCCCCGGUUCUUGGCCUGUUCGUCCCUCUCUGUUUUCUGGGUUUUUCCUCUGGGUUUUACUUGAGUUUCACCCCUGGUUUUCGGUCCAAUCCCCCCUGUUUUCUUCUCUGGUUCCUGGCCUUCCCCCCCCCCCCCCCAUCUGUUCUGUUUCUCCCCCUGCCUUUUAUAAGGCCAGAGAGCUUCAAAAACCGUCUCCUCCACGACCGGGAUCGUGGCAGAAGACAUGGUCACGAUGGGUUCGACUUUGUUGCCGAUUUUCCCGCUUCCCUGUUGAACCGGUCUUCGACAAGCAGAUGAUGAACAGAAGGAUCCUAAAACGGCGUCAUUUGGCAUGGAAAAUGAUAGACUAUAGAUUGGUCCCUGAUGUUUUGAAAUGUAUCAAUUAGGUCCCUUAAUCAAUAAAUUUUAAUUUUUCCCCUUGGAUUAAUUUCAAUUAAAUCCCUGAAUUUAUUUAAUUAAUUAAAUCAAAGUUUAAUUAAGUCCACAAACUUAUUAAUUCUUCUAAUUUCAUUAAUUAAACUAAUCCAAAUUUUAACUAAAUUUCCAAACUUAUUAAUUCUUCAAUUUCUGACUAAUUUACUCUCAAAUCUGAUAAUUUCAUCCAUGAACUUUGAAUUUGUGUUGUUUUAACCCCAUUCCCAAAUAUAUUUUUAUCAAUUCAUUUUGUAUUAUUUAUUCAAAAAUUGGGUUAUGACAUAGGUCUCAUAAUAAAAAUCCUUAAAGCUAAAUUAUUUUUUGAAGAAUCUCUUUUUUGAAGGUAUAAAUAUAAUUUUACAAAAUCUCAAAUAAAUCCUCAUAUGUACAAUUUAUAUAUUUAUACAAUAAAUUUCUAAGCGAAAAAGUUAUAAAACAAGUAAAUAUCCAAAUAAAAUACAUAUACUGCAAAAAUAUACAAUAAAAAUUAACAUUAAAAAAUUGAUAGUUUUGCUUAUUUGAAGUGGAGAAUUCUUAAUAAAAUUUGAAUUAGAAUAGAGAUGUUGACAAACUAAGUGUUGGGGUGGUCAGAUUUGUAGUGGGAGGUUAAUUUGUUAUAAAAAUUAGAGGGGUGUAUUGUUUAUUGCAGAGAAAAAUAGAGGAGAAAGAAGAAGAAAUGAGGGAGAAGGAGAGGUGGGUUGCUCAUCAGAUCAUAAAUUAAAAAUUAUAGACGGAUUUAUUGACGACAUUCAUCGAUUGAAUUUAAUUUCCCAUCUGUAAUUCUAUAUAUUAAAAUAACACAUCAUUGUAUUUUUUUGGUUUUUUUUUAACUUCUUUUUUCAUUGUAAUGUAUUUUUGUUUAUGUUUACCGAUGAAUAUAACUAUCAAUAAAAUUCACCGCAAUCUACAUUUAAAAAAAUUAUGUCAAUGUUUUUGUUUGUGUUUAUCAGUUUUCUAGUAGAGAAAGGAAUAACAAUUUGUAAUGAUCUUAAUUGCAACUCUACAUCAUAUGCAUAUGUAUAUUGAUCUAGUGCUUUCGGGUAAAUUUUGAAUAGAAAUUUGAUAAUUUUAUUUGGGCGUAAGUAGGAUUAAACUGAGUUGCAUUAUUAAAAUGGAAGGCUACAAUAUUUUGGACUCUUCUAACCUUCAUUUAUAGUUGCUAGUUCAAGGUUUUUUCCCAUAAGUUUAUGGCACUUCUGUGGUGGAUGGUGAUUGGGGAUAUCAGCCAUUUUAAGUACUUUGGUUCUAUUUCUUUCAAGGAUAGAGACUUUCAGAAUCUCAAGAAAUAAAAAACUAAAAGAAUGGCUUAUCUCUGACAACAUGCAGUUAAUAUAUAAAUUUCCUUUGUAACAGUCAAUAGACGGGACUGAUUUCUUAAUCGUUGAACACUACAACUGGAAUUGAUGGACUUAAUCAAUCCAAGUUGACUUUCUGCAUCACGCGUUAGGUAGACAAGCAAGCAAUAUAGAAUUUAAAUUCCAAGUUGAUAUUUUUAUACAUUUUCCUUUCUGCAGCUAUUAAUUUAUCCUCCUAGUAAUCACAAUAAAAUGGAAGAAAAUAAUCCUCUUGUGAUUGGCAUACAUCAUGAAAACAAAUGAAACCCUUGAUUAAAAUUGAAAGAAUGAUUUAGAAAACAGUUUUAUAUUUAUACACACACCCCACCAUUAUUUGGAUUCUUUUCUUGAAUGACCUAUCUAAAAGUGAGAUUGCGGUUGCUUUUCAAAAUGUAUUUUAUUUAUAAAUAUAUCAAAAUAAUAUUUUUAUUUUUAAAAAAUUAUUUUUGAUAUCAGCGGAUCAAAAUAAUCUUAAAACACUAAAAAAAUAUUAAUUUAAAGCCAAGAAAAAAUAUUUUUUUUAAUUUUUUUUUUUAAAAAUUUUUAAAACACAAAAACAAACAGAGCUGAAACAUCUUAGGUUAAUCGUAAUUUUUAAACUGCCAGGGUUCACCAGAGGCAAAGGACAAGUUAGGGGCAAGAGGGUCGACCUCAAAACAAAAUUAAGAAGAAAAAAGAAUUAAAAUAAUGAUGUUUUGACUUUUUUUUUAAAAUCUGUUUUUUAUUUUUUGUUUUUUCAAUUAAAACCAAUUUAGGCUUCAAAUCAAGCUCCCUAACAUCUAAGGCACUAGGUGCUGGGGAGAUCUGAACCGGGGGAGAGCCUACACUUCUUUUUUAAAAUCUACGAACAUAAGAAUAUAGUACAUAAAUAAUAUAUACUAUUUUCAAUUCAAAACUCUAAAUUAUUUGAUUAUAUAUGAAUCCAUCUUGACCAAAAUUUUUUUUUUGUCAUCGUUAUGUAUUUGGGUAAACUGUUGAGAAACACCUCAACCCUGGCAACAUUUUAUUCAAAUGUUGCAAGGGUUGGAACUAGAAUUAGCAAGUAGUAGCUAGGAAAAAGCUUGCAGCAGUGUAAAACACGGUUGAAUUACUCGAGACAACGAUGUGUCUCGAAAACAAAAUCUUGUGACAUAUAACAAAGGAUGCUUCCUCGAAGGAAGCCACAACUAAAAUAAAUAAUUGGCAUAUUCGAACCUUGUCCUAAACAAUAGACAAUUACGCAUGCACUGUUUAAUGACUGCCUGCCAAGAAAAAUAUUAAAAAGAAACUGACUGGUGAUCUUCAAUUAUUUUGGGUCUAAGACUUGACUUUAGGUUAACUGAUUUAUUCUUAUUAAACUCGAACUCGGGAAGAUAGAUGAUGUCGGAACGAAGCCCUUUGCCACCAACCCCUCAAAAGCUUAGGGAUCUAAGCUUGAAUAUUCAAUAACUAAUCACAAAUACUUUGAUUUAGUCAAAGGUAAACGAUGGUGAAUUCCGACAGAUUUGAGGGCAACUAAUUUGUCAUAUGUUAAUUGAAUAUUCAAUAACUAAUCACAACUAAUUUGUUUUUUUUUUUAUGAUAAAGGUAUUUUAAAUUAGUUUAUACAUUAAUUGAAAUUAAAUCUUUUUUGAACAAUAUUAAAAAUACGUAUCUCACAUUUACUUGAUAUAUAUAUUCAGAAGAAUUUAGCUAAUUCCUCUUAAUACCUUCUAUUUGAAAGAAUUCAAUAAAUUCUUCUUCAAUGUAAAUGUAAAUCGCUAUCGUAAAAUUGUAGCCCCUGCAGGACCGACGUCCAUAUAACCAUCUCAAAUUUAUUAAUAUGAUUUGAUUGAAACAAUCAAAUCAUGCAAUUUCCUAGUAAUUACAAUCACUAAUCUUCUCCUCGAGAACUGGUCCAAGCUCUUCUCCUUCAAGGCUUUAGUUUCACCUUAUAAAUAACACUUCUUUCCUUCCAAGCUUAAACCAAGAAAAGUAGCUAGAAUCAGCUCAACCAUAGGUGGACAACAAGAUGAUCAUGAAAAAAUACUCUUUAAAUCCUGUUCUAUCUUUCUUUUUCUUCCUUUCUUUGAUGAUUUUGUUCUUAGAAAUGGGGGUGGCCCAGAACACAACAUCUACAAUCCCAGUGAAUAUAGGAGUGGUUCUUGACUUGGCUUCUUUGGAUGCCAAUAUUGCUUUGAGCUGCAUCAACAUGGCCCUUUCAGACUUCUAUGCCUCUCAUGGUGACUACAACACUAGACUGGUCCUCAACACCAGGGACUCGAAGAAAGAUGUUAUUGGUGCAGCUGCUGCAGGUUCCCUCUCUGUCCCUUCUCUUGAUUAUCAUCUCUUUUCUCCAAUUAUGAAUCAUUGCUCACCAUUUCUUACUGCUAAUUAUUAACCUCCUCAUGCAACAUUUUAACAGUGGAGAUUUUUACAUUCUGUAUUAAUUAUCUGAUGAGGUUCUCGGCCGGCAAAUCUCUAGUUUUUGAUCAUAGAAAUGCAGGUCCAUUGACAUGAUAUGAGAAUAUAUAUAUAUACCCUUGCAUGCUUGUUAUAUUUUUCUUUUCAAGCUAAGGGUAUUCUCAGAAAAACCUGCACAGAUCUAGACAAACUCUCUUUCUGAUCGUGUCUACGUAAGCCAUUCACACUCGAACCGGUUUAUAUAACCAUUCUAGUAACUCAUUCAGUAACUUAAACUUUUAGAUGAUUAUUUGAUAUUUACUAGGAAUUUCUUCCUCAACCUUUCAUUGUAUUGAACCCAAAAUGACAACGUCUUGGGAAGCUUAAUUAUCGGCAAUCAACACCUUAAUUAAGACCAAGAAGGACACGUUUUAUAUAAGCCUUACUGUGAUAAUGAAGGACUAGCUGGUUUUACUUUCUGCUAGCAACGAUAAGGUGGGUCUAAACACACAAAAGUCUUCAUAAAUUGUGGCUAUCUUACUUUCCAAACCACACCAACCCACACCCCCCCCCGGGAUAUAUACAUAAAAAUUAUAGAUAUUAACUUUAAAUUUAUAAUCUCAUUAUUUAAAAAUUAGUAUAUAAUGAUUGUCUUCACAAAAGAUUUAUAAAAUAUUUAAAUUAUAGAAAAAACCUAUAUUUACUAUAAAACAACUUAAAAUUAAAAAACAUUAAGGAAAUUAAAACAAAAUCUUUAAAAAAAAUCAUAGGAAAAUAACAAAAUUGAUCCAAACAUCAACUUCCAGGUCUAAUUCUUCUACUUAUUGAAGACCCAACAAUCCAAUAAAUGAUGCAUUUCUAAGAUGACAUGAGAAAAAUUUAAACUCAAUUUAAUAGUUAAAUUUUUUAUUAUCUCAGUUUUACCACGCUAACAUAGUUUUACAUGACCAAAUUUUUUUAAGCCUAAAUAUAUAAAACCACUCCAUAAAAACAUUUUAUAGAUAAUUCACAUAGUUUACGUGAUCAUAUCCUCAUUUAAUAAUAUCAUAUCCUUACCUAAAUGUUCAUAACUUUCACUUUCUAUAAGCUCACAUCAUUAUGUGUAUGUCAUAAGUAGCUUAUCAGUGGUUCAUGCCAAAUCACUUUUGGAUUAUUAAUAAUUUAGAAUUGAACUCAUUGAAUAAUUUGUUUAACUUGUCACUGCCUUAUCAGCCACCUUCUUAUAUGUAAUUAACAGCCUGAGAUGUACUUCUUAAAAUAAAAUAUGAACAUGAUUUGGCACAGUCUAUUUUAAUUGUUUAGAACUGCUACGCCGAUCAUUGCAUUAUACUUUAAUCAUCAUUCAAUUAUGAUAAUCAUGUGGUUACCAUAUCAAUCUAUAAAUUAUUUUUGUUGAUAUAGAAGCACUAGUUAUUGCAAUAUACAUGUACACUCACCAGUUAAUUAGCCAGUUUUCCCUCAAGUUAAAACAAAAAUUCAUGCUCUGCUUAAAAAGUUUGGGUUGAUAGUGAAAGAAAUAUAUAGCUCGAUCAGCAUGGAUUGCUAGACAAAAGCAUGUUAAUUUUCUGCUGUCAUGUUAUUUUUUUUUUUAUUAACGUGAGUGUUCGGAUCAGUUUGCGCGCACCUCGACUAAUCCCACGGACCCUGAAGUUAAUGACCAUAUAAGCCUCCAAUGACCAUCAAAAUUAGUAACCAUAGAGCUCAAUCAUGAGACCACAGGGGAAGCAAACCCCUUAAUAUCAAAUUCUUAAUACUAGACCACUUACUUAAUUUUUAAGAUAAUGUUUAGUUACUAUCUUAAAAUAGAAAAAAAAAAAAAAACAACGACGUAAAGACAAAAAGAACAUAUUUCCUUGUUUUUUUUUAUUUUAAAAUAAUAAAAAUUAACUAUAAAAUUAUCCCAAAACAUUUUAUUUUAAGCAUAAGUCCCUUCUGUAUUGGAACACUGACCAAAUCCAACAUAAGGUGUAGAGCAAUUAAAAGAGAAGAGCUCACAGAUCAUAAAAUGUGACUGCAGAAUGAUCAUCCUAUAAGAAACUGUGAUUCCUUGCUUGAUCGUUCUCUGCUGCAGAAGUCAUUAAUUUUUCUACUCUCCUUCUGAAAUGCAGCCCUGGACUUGAUAAAAAAUGUGGAAGUGCAAGCAAUCUUAGGGCCAAAUACAUCAAUGCAAGCCAAUUUUGUUAUUGACCUUGGAGAAAAAGCUCAGGUACCAAUUAUAUCUUUUUCUGCAACAAGUCCUUCUCUUACUUCCAUCAGGAGUUCAUAUUUCUUGCGAGCAACACAAAAUGAUUCAGCUCAAGUGAAUGCCAUAAGUGCUAUAGUUCAAGCCUUUGGAUGGAGAGAAGCGGUGCCCAUCUACAUUGACAACGAAUAUGGAGAGGGAAUCAUACCUUAUUUAACUGAUGCUCUGCAAGAAGUUGAUGCUCGUGUGCCCUACCGUAGUGUCAUUUCUCCAUCGGCCACUGAUGAUCAAAUUGUUGAGGAGCUUUAUAAGUUGAUGACAAUGCAAACUAGAGUUUUCAUUGUGCAUAUGUAUCCCUCUCUAGGCACUCGGCUUUUCACCAAAGCAAAAGAGAUUGGAAUGAUGAGUGAAGGCUAUGUUUGGAUCAUGACUGAUGGUCUGAGUGUUGAUUUCUUGAGUUCACCAAAUCAUUCUGUCACCGAUACUAUCCAAGGAGUAUUGGGUAUUAAACCUUACGUUCCAAGAACAAAAGAGCUUGAAUAUUUUCGAGCUCGGUGGAAAAGGAAAUUCCUCCGAGAUAAUCCAGAUAAAAUUGAUGCGGAGUUGAACAUUUAUGGACUACUGGCCUAUGAUGCCACUACAGCAUUGGCCUUGGCAGUUGAGAAAGCCGGCACUACAAAUUUUGGCUUCCAAAAGGCAAAUGUCUCUAGCAACUCAUCAACAGAUCUUGCUACUCUUGGCAUCUCUUUAAAUGGUCCCAACAUUCUUCAAGCUUUAUUGACCACUAGUUUCAAAGGCCUUACAGGAGAUUACCUUCUUGUUGAUGGGCAGUUGCAAUCACCAGCUUUUCAGAUAGUUAAUGUGAACGGAAAUGGAGGAAGACGGAUUGGAUUUUGGACGCCAACAGAAGGACUUGUGAAAACACUGAAUCCGAGAAUAAAUAAACGUAUGAAUUCAACUUCUACUUCCAGAGUUUCAACUGUAAUUUUUCCUGGGGAUACAACUGCGGUUCCUAAGGGUUGGGAGAUUCCCACAAACGAGAAGAAGAUGAAAAUAGGAGUGCCUGUGAAGUAUGGCUUCAGUGAGUUUGUAGCAGUAACAAAAGAUCCUGGUUCCAACUCCACAACAUUCACCGGAUUCUGCAUAGAUGUUUUUGAUGCUGUAGUCAAAGCACUGCCUUAUGCUUUGCCUUAUGAGUACAUCCCCUUUGCCAAGCCUGAUGGCGAACCUGCUGGAACCUACAACGAUCUGGCCUAUCAAGUGUACUUGAAGGUAAGACUUGCUCUCUCCUUUUCUGUUCUUGUAACUAUAUCACAUUGAAUAUCAUUCAGAUUGAUGUAUUUUUGUUUAUUGCCAACAGAAUUAUGAUGCCGUGGUUGGAGACGUAACUAUUGUCUACAACAGGUCCUUGUACAUCGACUAUACCUUGCCUUUCACAGAAAGUGGUGUCUCCAUGAUUGUUCCGAUUGCAGACAACAACAGCAAAAACGCAUGGGUCUUCAUGAAACCUUUGACAUGGGACCUUUGGGUGACCAGUUUUUUGUUCUUUGUUUUCAUUGGAUUUGUGGUCUGGGUUCUUGAGCACAGAAUAAAUGAAGAUUUUCGAGGGUCAGCUUCAGAUCAAGCUGGCACUAGUUUCUGGUUUUCCUUCUCAACUAUGGUUUUUGCACAACGUAAUCUCCCUUCCCUUGUGAAUUCUACUUCUGCUGUUGUACUAGCACUCCAUAUAUAUAAACACCAAAUUGACUUUAUGUUUAUAUUUACAGGGGAGAGAAUGGUUAGCAACUUGUCUAGGGCGGUGAUAAUCAUCUGGUGUUUUGUUGUGUUGAUCCUCACGCAGAGUUACACCGCCAGUUUAACAAGCCUACUUACCGUCGAGCAGCUGCAGCCUACAGUUACUGAUGUGCGUGAGCUCAUUAAGAAAGGGGAGUAUGUGGGCUACCAGGAGGGUUCUUUUGUUCUAGGACUCUUGUUAGACUUGGGGUUCGACAAGUCCAAGCUCAUGGCUUAUAGUUCUGCAGAAGAAUGCCACCAUCUUUUCUCCAAAGGAAGUGGAAAUGGUGGUAUUGCUGCUGCUUUCGACGAACUGGCUUUUUUAAAGCUCAUUAUGUCAGGAUAUUGCUCCAGAUAUACCAUGAUUGAUCCUAAAUUUAAAACCGGCGGUUUUGGCUUUGUAAGCUCACUUUCCUAUCUUGUUAUUUACAUUUACUCGGUGGCUAAUAAGUGCAUAGUUUCUCAUGUAUCCUUUCUUUUUUUAACUGCAGGUCUUCCCUAAAGGUUCUCCUCUAGUGCCUGAUAUAUCUAGGGCAAUUUUAAAUGUAACCGAGGGAGAUGAAAUGAAGCAAAUAGAGGGUGCAUGGUUUGGCAAAAAAAGCACUUGUCCAGAAUCCAGCUCCUCAAUUUCAUCUAAUAGCCUUAGUCUCAAGAGUUUCUGGGGGUUAUUUUUACUUGCAGGACUAGCUGCAUUGUUAGCUCUCAUUAUCUUCAUAGUCAUGUUUGUUUACCGAGAAAGAAACGUCUUGAGGUCCUAUGAUUCCACAGCUUCAAUAUGGAGUAGAAUUGAAAACUUCUUUAGAAUUUUCAUUCAAAGGGACUCCACAUCCAGUACUUUCACACAAAGUGAUCCGAAUGAUAGAAAUAGCAGCAGUCUGCCUCCUAUGCGCGCGCCAAGCCCAUCAGCCGAUUCAGUUGACGCGGAAUAUCCUGCCAAUCGAUCUUCUGCAAGCUAUGAUUCUAGUCCAAAUAGGGAAGUACCUCUAGAGGUAGUAAUAGAUACCGUGUUGAAAUUCAAUAUGAACUAACUUAGUUUAAUAGAAUUUAGAGCUUAUAAAAGUUUUAAUAUUAGUUAAAAGAAAAAUUAAUCCUAGCUAGUUAAUAAAGAAAUCUUUAAUGAAGACGGAUUUGUAAAAAACUAAUUUAUUAUAAUUCUUGUUUAAUUAAAAUGUUAGAUUUCUUAUUAGAUUAGAAUUUUUUUUGAAUAGUUUAAUUCUUUGAUUAGCUUGGAUUUGAGGUCUAUAAAUAAACUUGUAAUCUUAAACAUUAUAUACACAAAUUGAGAGAGAUAUAAAAAGGAGCUAGAAAUGUGUAUCUUUUGAAAUUUUUUUUAAUAUCAUUAAUUUUAUCUUCUUGUUUUUUAGCUUUAUUUUUAUGUUUGUUAUUAUAAAUUAAUUAUCAUACCUUCCAUCCUUCUUUUCCAACAUACCGAUCAACUUGCUAACAGAAAUCAAUAGAGACUGACAGCUUUGGAAAUAGACCAUGAAAAUAAUUGACUUGUAGGUUAUCAUUUGACUAUGAGAGAUGAUUUUACUGUAUUAAAAAUACAUGUAAGUGAGAUGAUUUUACUAAGAGAAUUUGAAGGUAAUGAUUUUUCUUGUUUUAUUAAAAGCUAGAAAUUUUUCUCUUUGAGUUGUGUUACUGUAUUACUGAGGAGCAUCUGGCAUUACCUUCUUUCCCCUCAUAUUUGUGAUAGACUUCUUGCCUUUUUUUACAAGUCCUAACCAAGGUUAUCAAUUCCGUUUUGUUAAGUGUUUUGUUUUUUCAAUUGGAAUGGAAUGUUUCAGUUUUGGAGUAUCGUUUCGGGGUUGUACUUCCAUAUAUAUAAAUUCAAUAAACAUAAUUCAAAUUCAAGAUAAAUUAAUUAUAAAUUAUGCAAUACAAACACAAUGCCAAACAAAUAUAAUUUCAAAAUUUAAAAUAUUUCUAAAUAGUCAAGAUUAAAUAGAUCUUUAACUUAAAGUAAUUUAACUUAAAAAAAAUAUCAAAAUAUUAUGAAAGUAAAAUAUUUUAACACAAAUAUUUUAAAUAAAAAUUUAGGUCAAUGUUAUCAAGGCUAAUGGAAUUUAAAGCAUCCCUUGUUUUGCUCAAAUUCCUACAAAGUAUAAACAUGAAAAAAAAACAACAUGAAUAUAAACCAUAUAUAUUAGUGAUAAAUCUAAUUUUAAAAAAUUAAUAUCAUUGUUAAUGAAAAUAGUAAUGAUAAUUUUCAAUAUUAUUAUUAAUAUCAUUGUUAUUAAAAAUAGUAAUGAAAAAGAGCUUUUUAUAAUUGGGUGAUUUAAUUAAUUAAAUUGAACAAGGUUCAAUUUGAUUCAAUAUUUUUUCAACAGUGGAACGGAACAUGUGGAAUGAAACCGGAACAUUCCGGGCGGAAUUUAGCUGAAAAAUCCGGAACGGACCGAGAUUUAAAAUGAGAUGAAAUUUAUUCUGUUUUUUGAAUUGGUAUGGAAUGUUUCGGCCAUUCCGGGCGAAACGGAACGAAAUUGACAACCUUGGUCCUAACUUAAUAAGAACCUAGAGAUUUGCCUAGUGUUGAAGACUGCUUCAGGAAUCCGUAAGUCCUGUUUUUUCUAUUCUAUUAUCAUCAAAUAAAUGUUGAGCUAGUCUAUAGGAGCAAAUUAGUUAGUUAAGAUAUUAUUUGCUGAUUUGAUGCUUUAUUAGAGCAUUUCGGUUGAUUGUUCUUCCUAUAAAUGUAAUGAAGUGUUAAUGAAUAAAAUAGAAACUCAAGUCUGUACAACAAUAGCAGACUAUUAUCAUAAGAUUCUCUCCUGUUUUCUUUUCUUUUCUUCCUUUUAAAAUCAUUAAUUGAUAUCACAACAAUUUGUAUGAGGGGACCUACAAUGAAAGAAAGAAAAACCAAAGCUUAUCAAAUAACCCAACCCUAUUAUACUAGGUUCUAGGUGUCAGCUUUAAAUCAUAAAAGCUUUCUUCAGCAAAUAAACUUUAUUUUUUUCUCCCUAAACCACAAAUCUAGCUGGUUGUUCAACAUAAAUCUAGAAAGAAAAAUAAAAAAAAUCAAAAUCUAUUUUUUUCUCCCUAAACCAUAAAUCUAGCUAGUUGUUCAACAUCAAUCUAGAAAGAAAAAUAAAAAAAUCAAAAGCAAAAGCAAAAGAAUGCUUGUUUGUUGUUGUUUCAACAACCAUUUUCACAAGAAUCAUGUCUCUCAUAUCAGCAAAGGAUGUCUGAGACUAUCUGAAGGAAGAAUAUGUAAGAGAUGAAAGGAUACAUAAUAUGCAAAUUAGGGGUGUGCAAAAAAACCGAUAAACCGAAUAAACCGAGAAAACCGACAAAAAAUUAACCGAAAAAACCGAACCGAGAAAAAAAACCGAUUAAACCGAUUAGAAUAUUUAGAAAAAAUUCCGGUUCGGUUCGGUUUUCGGUUUUGUAAUGCAGAAACCGGUUAACCCGGACCGAACCGAACCGGUUCAAAAAAAGGUCCCUAACCACCACUAGUAUAAAUAGAAACUUUUCCCCUCUUGCCUAACCCUAACAAACUAAAGAGCACCCGCCGUCCCACCCCCUCUCCCUCUCCCUCUCCCUCUCUGCUAACCCUAACCAGAGCACCCGCCGUCCCUCUCCCUCUCCCUCUCUGCUAACCCUAACCAGAGCACCCGCCGUCCCUUUCCCUCUCCCUCUCUGCUAACCCUAACCAGAGCACCCACCCCAGUACUAGAGGCUCUCCCUCUCGCCUCUUCAAAAUAUUUUAGCCUAUCGGACACGUUCUUGAGAGAACUNNNNNNNNNNNNNNNNNNNNNNNNNNNNNNNNNNNNNNNNNNNNNNNNNNNNNNNNNNNNNNNNNNNNNNNNNNNNNNNNNNNNNNNNNNNNNNNNNNNNNNNNNNNNNNNNNNNNNNNNNNNNNNNNNNNNNNNNNNNNNNNNNNNNNNNNNNNNNNNNNNNNNNNNNNNNNNNNNNNNNNNNNNNNNNNNNNNNNNNNNNNNNNNNNNNNNNNNNNNNNNNNNNNNNNNNNNNNNNNNNNNNNNNNNNNNNNNNNNNNNNNNNNNNNNNNNNNNNNNNNNNNNNNNNNNNNNNNNNNNNNNNNNNNNNNNNNNNNNNNNNNNNNNNNNNNNNNNNNNNUUAGGAGAUUGAAUCCACCCAGGUAUGUAUUAUGCAGAUUCGUCAUCUUCAUUUUUUAAUUUUCUAAGUGAAAGUGACCUUAAAUUUUUCCCAUCAAGGUGUUAGUUAAAAUAACUUUGGUGCGUGCACAUUCUAAUUUUCUUGAUUAUCCCGAUGUGCUCUGUAUAUAAUUCCUUUUGGUGUCUUGCAGGUUUUGUUAUUGAUGCAGGACCUUACUGUUAACUUGUCUAGCCCUGAUUUUGAGCCAUAUAUAAGUGUUAAUGUUUUGUAAGUAUGUUCAUAGCAGCUCUUACCAGCAUGCAUGCAUAUUGCCACUUAUUUUGGCUUAUUGAAAGAAUUCGUAAAUGUGAUGAUAUAUUGCAACCAUAAUCUGAGUAUUAUGGCAAAGCUGAGGUUUCAUUCAAUGCUAAAGUUUCAACAUGUUAUAUUUUGAAGUGAAAACAGAUUUACAUCCAUUUUGUUCAGUUCUUUUUCUCUUUUUUUUAUGUCAAGGUUGUGAUUGAUAAUGAAGCUUGCAAGAAUGCUACUGUCAUAAGGGUAAGAGUUUUGGUGUCCUUUUUUGGUGGGUGUGUGCUCUUCAGUCUUGACCAUCAUUCUUGUUGUUUUUUGGGUACUAAAUAUUUCAUUGUGUUACAGGUUGAUAGUGCUAACAAACAUGGAAUACUUCUUGAAGUUGAUAGUGCUAACAAAAUGUGUUUAGGGAUGACCGCUUUUGCAAUUGAUUUUUUGGCUCAUGGAUUAUUUUGUAGGAAUAUUAUAUCAAGCAUAUUGAUGAGUCCCCUGUAAAAUCAGAGGCUGAGAGACAAAGGAUUAUACAAUGUCUUGAAGCAGCUACUGAAAGAAGAGUAUCCGAGGUGAGUGAACUAUGGUACCUUCAAAUCUGAGAUCGUUCUUAAGGUUUACUCAUAAAACUCUCCUUGUUUUUACCAAAAUCAUGCAUCCAGCCACUAUGAUUUCAAGCUGUUCUGUGUUCCUUUCCUUGCUAUCAAAAUGCAGAUCUAUCAUAUAAUUGUAUUGAUUAUGUUGUUACUUGGGCAAUGGUGAGUUGGGUGAAGUUUAUAUACGGAAGAGGUGAUUUUAUUGCAAUGAUAAUGACUGCAUGUUAAGCUAUGACUGGUGUCACUCACUAGUUAAAACACUCUUGCUAUUUUAUAUUUCAUGCCUUAUGUUUAGUUUCUUCUUUUUUGGUGUUAGAUGAUGAUGCAUUAAUUCUGUUAGGAAUUCACUCGCAUGCUUGUGCAGAAUGCUCUAUUCAAAGGACAGCUUGCUAUUGGGUUUUCUUGGUGUACUAAUAUACAACUUGUUGGGAACAACUGAUAGUAUGAUAGCAAAGGUUUAUUAGAUAUCUUUUGUGUUUUAUAAUAAUGGUAUUUGUUGUUUUUUUCUUUAAGCCCUUUGAAGGCAAUGGUUUGUAAUUUGAAUUUUAACUAUUAGUGUGUGAUUGUGAGUGUGUUAUUUAAAUUUUUUGAAAGCAGAAAAAUAUUAGGAAGGUAAAAAAUAAAUUGAAUACAAGAUUAACAUUGAUAAUUUCAUAUAAAUGAAUAUUCAGUGGCCAAAAAACUUAUAAACAUAAGAGUGACUAACAAUUUAAUACAAAUGAAUAUUUAGAGGUAAAAAAAUUAAAUAUACUUUUGGAUCUUCAAAGAAAAUGAGACAAUAUCAACAUUAAUUGCAAGCCCAUCAAAAAUCCAUUAAAAGCCCAUCAUAAAGCCCAUUACGAAGCCCAAAAAAAUGCAUAUAGGUUUUUUCGGUUUUGGGCAUCAAAAACCGAACCGAAACCGAACCGAAACCGGUCGGUUUGGGCCGGUUUCGGUUCGGUUUCGGGUCUGUUUUUUUUUUCGGUUUGGUUGAUUUUUAUGGGUAAAAACCGAACCGAAAAUGAUCACCCCUAAUGCAAAUACUGAAUUUAAUAAGAGAAUUUGAGCCGCAAAGAAUGAAAGAAUUUGAGACUAUCAAAGAGCACUCAAAUAAAUUACUUGUUAUUGUUAACAAGGUUAAAUUACUUGGUACUACAUCCACAUACUCUAGAAUUAUUGAGAAAAUAUUGGUUACAGUGCCUGAAAGAUAUGAAGAAUCAAUCACAACUUUGGAGAACAUAAAAGAUCUAUCCAAAAUAAUAAUGAUACAACUUUUGAAUGCCCUGUAAGCUCAAGAACAACGAAGGCUUAUGAGGCAAGAUCGUUUUGUAAAAGGAGCUCUACCAAUCAAGCAUCAAGAUUCUGAAAAGGAUUAGAAGAAAUUCUUCAAGAAAAAUCAGGCUUCAAGCAGUAAAAUUAAUACUAACCAGUUUCAAAAUAAGGAAAAAUCUUUGAAAAAGGGUUAUCCACCAUGUCAACAAUGUGGCAAGACAUAUCAUCCACAUUCAAGUGCUGGAAAAGACCAGAUGCAAAAUAAGGAAAAAUCUUUGAAAAAUGGUUAUCCACCAUGUCAACAAUAUGGCAAGACAGAUCAUCCACAUUCAAGUGCUGGAAAAGACCAGAUGCAAGGUGCAACAAGUGCAAUCAACUUGGGCAUGAAGUUGUCAUUUCCAAAACAAAACCUCAAAAAUAGGAGGCCAAUGCUCAAGUUGUUGACCAAGGUGAUGAAGAUCAAAUGUUUGUGGUUACUUGUUUUUCAACUAGAGACUCCUCAAAUCAUUAGCUCAUUGACAGUGCUUGCACAAAUUACAUGACUUUGACAAGAGUCUUUUCAGUACAUUGCAACCUACAAGAAUUUCAAAGGUUUGAAUUGGGAAUGGUGAUUAUAUAGCAACAAAGGGAAAAAGAGCCAUUGCAAAAUAAGUUGCAUGUUAGAGAGUAGGUGGUUCCAGUUCUAAUGGAUUGGAUUUGAUAGUUGGCUGCUCAUUUGUUGUAGGUGUAAAAAGAUUUGUUUACAUCUCUGCUACUGACUUUGGCUUGGUCAAUUACUUGCUGCAAGGUUAUUAUGAGGGAAAUUUACUAAUUUUCAUUACUGCUUAUUUCGAGUGUUGUAUCUAGAAUCAUGUCACGUUAAUGCUGAUGGCUGGCAUAACACAUCUUCAUCUUCAUUUUUCUGGAAACAAGGACUGUUUUCUAAAGCUUUAUAAAAACCAGUUUGUAUUAUACGUAGAUACAGUUUGAUUUUUAUAAUACAUUGUUUGAUAUGAAAUAGUUAUAUCACAAGAAGAAUCAACACUUUCAAGUGUGCCUUGAUAUUUACUUUUCCCUUUUCUUAUCAUUCUUACCUUAUGUAAAUUUUUUACUUGUGGUUUGUUUGAAGUAGAAGGUUGCUGAAACAGAGUUGUUGUGAUGUUUUGAAAUAAAAUGAGUAGGAAAAGGCAAUAAAGCCCUUGAAGGCUUAAAAAUGGAUAUAAAUGAAUAAAGGGUAUUGUAGUAAUUAAACAAAGAGUUGAUAAAUAUAAAUAGAAAAAAAAAGAAAAAGAAGAGAGGUGUGUUCUAAGAGUGAAAAACUGACGGGAGAAGAGAAGAAAAGGGGAAGAAGAAGAAAGAAAAGAAGGAAAGAUAAGGGAAGGAGAAGAGAGUUGGAGAAAAUAAGUUUAAAGGUAAAAUUAUGUAUAAAUGUGUGUUCUUUAAGCUUUAAAUUUCUAUUUUGAUAAAUGUUAGGGUUUUGAAGAUUGUGUUUUGGGUUUAUUGAUGAAUUGAUUUGAAUGUUAUAGGUUGAUUGUUAUGGGUAAUGAGUUGUUUAGUUGAUUUUGGAAGAUUUUAGGUAAAGAUGAUGAUUUUGAGUUAUGAUUUGUGUAAAUGGUGAAUUUUGAGUUAGAAAUCAGGAGAUAAUAGUAGGUUUUCUAUGGAAAUUCUGGGUUUGAGGUUGAAGAUGAUGAAAUUUCACUUUGGUCCCUCAAUUUGUGAAAAUUACAAUUUGGUCCCUCACUUUGGAAAAAUUAUAGAUUGGUCCCUGGAACAUAAUCCGAGAUUCUGGACAGAAUUAAAGAUGAAUUAUGGGCAUAAUUCCAGUAUAGUUAUGGAUUUAUAACACUUUCAAUUUGGUCCUCCCAUUUGACAAAAAUUACAAUUUGACCCUAAAAAUUUGGAAACAUUCCAGAAUGGUCCCUGGAGCAUGAUUAGAGAUUCUGGAUAGAAAUGAGGAUGAAUUAUGGGCAGAAUUCCAGUAUAGUUAUGAUUUUAUAACACUUUCAAUUUGGUCCUCCCAUUUGACAAAACUUAUAAUUUGACCCUAAAAAUUUGGAAAAAUUCCAGAAUGGUCCCUGGAGCAUAAUUAGAGAUUCUGGACAAAAAUGAGGAUGAAUUAUGGGCAAAAUUAUAGUAUAGUCAUGAAUUUAUGGUCCCUGGAGCAUAAUUAGAGAUUCUGGACAGAAAUGAGGAUGAAUUAUGGGCAAAAUUAUAGUAUAGUCAUGAAUUUAUGACAUUUUUAGUUUGGUCUUUCAAUUUGACAAAAGUUUCAAUUUGAACCUUAAAAAUAUGAUAAAUUCCAGAUUGGUCCCUAGCUGUAAUAUUAGCUUUUGCAUAUUGGUUUGAUGAAUAAAUGAGGGUUAUUUAAUGAAUUAUUAUCAAUUUUAUUAUUUGUUUUAUUAUGGAUUAGAUUUCAGGAAAACCGUUUAAUUUUGGGUUUUUAGGAAAAAUUACUAGUUUGGUUUAAAAACAUAUAGGGUUAUGGAAUAAACCUUUAGUUAAGUGUAUUAAAUAGGUUGUAUGUUCUUUUGAGUUAUUUUUGAAUAUGACUCCUUUUUAUUCAGAUAAUCCUGAUAUUCUACCGGCGGAACAUUAGUAGGAUUUACUUCGGUAUCUGCUUUCAAGUUCUGUUUUCUUUCGAGUCAGGUGAGUGGAUAAUUUUCCAUAUGCAUGAGAAAUAUUAAAAAUAUUUGAUUUGUUAAUAUGAAUUGGAUCAUGCUUUUUGAUAAUAUAUAUGUUGAUUAUUAUUCUUGUUACGAUAAAGCAUGAUCAAAUGUUGAAUCUGAAUUCUUGAUAUGAACCAAUAUGUAUUUUGAAUUGACUUCUGAAUUGACAACUCCUCAUUUGAUUGAUGUCAUGAGUUGUGCCUUGAGAUAUGAAUAUGUUUGUUUGAUUAUGAUUAUGAACCUAAGGUAUGCUAGUUAGAAUACUCAUGCUAACAGGGUAGUGUUAGUCUUUGUGCACAUCGUAUCUGAACCCUAGUUGGUCGAGGGAGUCACCAACCUGUGUGGACUGAUCAUCCCACAGUACGGAGCCUCAUGCUCAUUGCAUUUUGACUUUCUGACGAGCUUUACCUUAUGAUAUUCUUGUUAUGGUCUAUUUGAGAAACCUUCCUAUAAGAACCUAGAGCCAUAAUUGUAUAUAUAUUCUCAUUGUUGUAUUACCUCGUGUGUGUAUAUUGAACGUUAUCUACUCACUGAGUUGUUGAACUCACCCUCUCAUUAUUUAUCUUUUCAGGCUUAUAGCUUGUUAGCGGGUUACUUUUGUUGAACCUUCAGAACCUGCUCUUUUGUUGAAAUUAGUACUUUUUCUUUAUGUCUAGUUAGUGCUCCAGAACUAUGAAUUUGUAUUAACUCUUGUAUUAAGACAAUCGAAUUAUAUUAUGAAGUUAAUUUUGUUAUUAAUGAUGUGUUGAACUCUGAUUGAGUUGUUUAAAGGAUAAGUUUGUAUGUAAGUUUGGGUUCGCAUAGGUAUAGAAUCUUGGAGGGGAAUCUUGCCUAUGUGCAGGUCAUGGAUCCGGGAUUCGGGUCGUGAUAGUUGUUGACCAAGUUUGCAUAUGGAGGUAAUUUUUUUCUUUCCAUUAUUGUAAUUUAUACCUUUUAUAUAUUUGUCAUUCAUUUUACUCUUCUUAGCAACUGAAAUAUGAGAAAGCUGUCCUAAAACUUUUGAAUUUGGAAAACUGUAAAAUUUCCUUAAUGUAAAAUGCUAUUAUGAUAUAUUGGUUUCAUCCUUUAUAUCUUAGUACUCUUUUCAUUGCAUUUAAUCAUCAAAAUCUUGCAGUUUAGAGUGCUAGUGUAUGUAUUUGUUAGUAUCGUGGGUAAAUGUGUUUUUUCGUAGCUGACAGUGUAUUGCUAUCUUAUAUUAUGGAUUAUAGUAACCGUAAAUCUGAUGAAAUAUAUAUGUUUUGUUUCCUUGUUUAGGAGUGGUUCUCCGGACUGGGUUUAUUUAUGAAACUCGCAAUGUUGGAAGUGUGAAGUUACCUCUUGGUGUAAUCGGUUCUCCGUUGGAGAUGGUAAGUUGUGCAUCCUUGUAUAUUUACCUAGAUUACUAGGUUAUCCCAAACAACACUUGAAUGUCGUACAUCCAAGCUUGAAGCUUUUGGCAAAUUUAGGUUAGCCAAUCAAAGUCAUUGCCUUUGCAAUCCCCCCCACCCUGUGAUGACUUCUUAAUUUCUCAAUAUUUAUGGUCCUCAUCUAUGCACCUUGCAAUUCAUUAAUAGUUUUAGCCCUUCAGCGCUUGAGGAGUCUAGUUUAACACUUUAAGGGGAUAAGUGGAGAUCGCAUCUUGUCUUUUAGGAGCAUGCUAUGAUUCUACUCACCAGAAAUCUAGUUUUGAGGAGUGUUCUGUUGCCAUGUAAUCAUUUACAUGGGAGAAAUGCUUGAAAUGCGACGAGGAGGAUUCACUCAUAUCAUAUUGUAAUCUUGUAAUUUGGAGGUUCAUUGUAAUUUAUUAAUGGCAAUCUCACUGCAGGUUCUCCAACAUGCAAAACCACUUAAACAAUUUCCCCUUGUUGGACCCUUGUUCACUCCCCCUGUCAAUGUUACUACCGUGAUGAAAGUUGCAGUAAGGGCAGCAACUGAUCCAAUUUUCCCUCCCGGCAUUAUGGAUGUCUAUGGAAUACUGCGUUAUAGCCAGCAACAAAGAGCAACAUAGAUUUGUUGAUAUCGAGAGUUCAUUUGUUUUCUUCACCAAUAUAGAGUUCAUCAUCAAUAUCAAGAUUUCAUCUGUUUUCUUCUUCUUUGUAAGUUCUCAAAAUGUUAGCUGUUGGAGUUGAACUCGCAGCAUUUUGUGAAC